AUCAAAAGAGUGUACUACUUUUUUAUUAUGUGGCCCACCUUUCAUUCUCACAAAGUGCCUAGGAGCACGUGCUAGAGCUGGCUCUUCGCGAAGAGCCCGCUUACCUUCUCUCUCCUCUUCUCUUUCCUCCAACUAAGCAGAAAUAUACUAGUUUAUUCCUUAUAGCCCGCUGACUCAGCUCUAUUAUACUUGCUCUAAGAGAGAGGUCGAGGAGAGAUUGGUUUCUGUGACGGGCGUGGAGAAAGAGGAGAGAGGUAGUGGAGAGAUUGAUUUUUUUUGCUUGCAGAAAAGAGAUUGUUUUUUUACAGGGUGCAAAGAGAUUGAUAAUUUGAUAAUGCUUUGAACGAACUCUAGGGAAGAUCUCGAUCGUAAUAAGUCGGUCCCACCAAAAAUUAGUGGCUCUUAAUUUCUAAUUAAUGUGUAAAUUUUUUGGGCGUGCCAUAGAUAGAUAGAUAGAUAGAUAUAGAUAUACAUAUAUAUGUAUAUUUUUUUAGAAUCAUAGAUACAAGCGGGCCUUAUUUCAGCACUAAUAUGGAACUUCCUUCGUCCCAUAAUACUCCUACACUAAGGCUAGUCAUAAUGGGGAGUAACUUAGACUAGUGUCAUGCAUACGACACUAGUCUUUGUUACUACCUUCAUUAUGAAAAGUAAAAUAGUAGUAGUAUCAUAGAUAAAUAUAUUUAUUACAUUGUAGACUCAUUUUGCUUUGAGUGGUGUUAUGUUUACAGUAACAUAUUAUGUUAUCCAAACUUCUCUCUCCUCAUUAACUAUACGCCACGUAAGCAAACUUGUCUUGAAAUGCGCUAUGUUACUUGUUAAGUUACUUUCACUAUGACUAACCCAAAGUAUAAUCGCUCUUGUGUUAUUUUUUCUUGAUACGCAUAAGCAUGUGUAUCAUAUAUUAAAGAAGGAGCUGCAAAGAAGCCAGAUACAACGCCUUUCGGCCAUUUCCACGCCAAUCACAAAGAUUAGCAUCCACAUCCAGCCAACACACCCACCAGGCUAACUAUGAUACAUGCUAUACCUAGGCCAACCUCAUACCGAAGGCAAUGAUGCAAGCCACAUAGCAACCAGGCCACGUCACAACCGAGGCCGGAGACCUCUACCACAAGACCAAGACUCGAGGACAACGCAGACCAACGUACCCCACCCAAUGCGCCAAGAAGAAGUCGGCAAGUGAACGGCAGGGCCUGAGCAGACCUAAAGAUGGCGUCAUCCAGAGGGCGCUAGCGAUAGUGUUAUAGGACGGAAGGAGUAGUUUUUUGGGGUGAAUCCUACACUAAAGUAUGCGAAAGUUCUAAACCAACGGAGUUUUACGGGCAUAUUACGUGGUCUCUUCGUUAACCAAUCUUCAACCCCUCCCCCCUCCCUGAUUUUCAGGGGGGUGUGGGCCCCUCAUCAUGAUUUCCUCCAAUCAAAUGGUCCUAGCUAAAGCCUUCUCAUAAAAGUCCGUUGUCCUGUGUCCAUGUGCGAAAAUUCUAACCCAAUGGAUUCUUAGGGGCCUAUUAGGGGGUUUGUUCGUUAACUAAUCUCCACCCCCNNNNNNNNNNNNNNNNNNNNNNNNNNNNNNNNNNNNNNNNNNNNNNNNNNNNNNNNNNNNNNNNNNNNNNNNNNNNNNNNNNNNNNNNNNNNNNNNNNNNNNNNNNNNNNNNNNNNNNNNNNNNNNNNNNNNNNNNNNNNNNNNNNNNNNNNNNNNNNNNNNNNNNNNNNNNNNNNNNNNNNNNNNNNNNNNNNNNNNNNNNNNNNNNNNNNNNNNNNNNNNNNNNNNNNNNNNNNNNNNNNNNNCAUUCUUUCUUUCAAUCAAAAGGAUCCAGCUAAUCUUCCCCGUAAGGUCACAAUGGGCAGGAACUUAGGAGUAACAUCACACACUCCAAUACAAGUUUGCUUAUGUGGCACAUAUUAAAUGAAGAGAGAGGUACUUGUGGUAACUAGCUAAGUUACCGGAACAUCACACACUCCAAGAAACAAGGAGUCUAUAUCCUAAUAAAUACAUCGCUGCAUGACGCUACCUACAUGUUCCUACCCACUAUGAAGGUAGUAACAUAGUCUAGAAAACUGUGUAGGUUACUAGCUUAUGUUCCUGCCCAUUGUGACCAGCCUAAAAGCCCGUUGUCAUGUGUCCGUGCGUGUAGCAAAGCUCGUCUGUGUGUGUAGCAAAGCUCGACGGCGCGCAUUCAUAAGUACGGGACAGCGCACGCGCAUUCAUUCAUAGGUCCAACAAUGGGUGAGUCACUCAGUAUAAAAGCAUGGCCACGCCGCGCAUUCUAAGCACAAAGUUGUGUAGGGCUUGGCUAAGAACCGUUGCAAAGCAAGCAACCAAUGCAUGUGCCUGCAACGGUGGCUUCACUGUACAGAAUGCAAAUGGAGGCCGUCUACCUCGGCUUAGCUCUGGUAUCCUUGUGUAUCGUGCUUCUUUCCAGGCGCGCGCGCAGGUGGUCGGCAUCGAACGAGGCGCCGGGGCCGUGGCGGCUGCCGGUGAUCGGCAGCCUGCACCACCUCAUCGGGCAGCUCCCCCACCGCGCGAUGCGCGACCUAGCGCGGCGCCACGGGCCGGUGAUGCUCCUCCGGCUCGGGGAGGUGCCCACGCUGGUAGUGUCGUCCCCGGAGGCCGCCCGCGAGGUGAUGAAGACCCACGACAUGCUGUUCGCGACGCGGCCCCUCAACUCCACCAUGAGCGUGCUCACCAACGGCGGCCGGGACAUCGUGUUCGCGCCCUACGGCGACCACUGGCGGCAGCUCCGGAAGAUCGCCGUCCUGGAGCUCUUGUCGCCGGGGCGGGUCCUGUCCUUCCGCGCCAUCCGCGAGGAGGAAGUCGCCGCCAUGCUCCACGAUGUCGCCGACGCCGCGGCGGCCGCGCGCCCCGUGGAGCUGCACGCGUGCCUCUCCGUGGUGGUCUCCAACAUCACGGUCCGCGCCGUCAUGGGUGACUACAGGUUCAAGCAGCGCGAGGAGUUCAUCCGCGCGCUCCACCACUCCCAGAAGCUCGCCGCGGGGUUCAACCCGGCGGACCUGUGGCCGUCGUCCCGGCUUGCCGGCUGGCUCAGCGGGGGCUUGCGCCGCGCCAAGGAGAUCCGCGCUACCGGGAAUGGCAUCCUCGACACCAUCAUCCGAGAGCGGCUCGAGAGGACGACUGAAGGUGGCGGAGGCGAGAACAAGGACCAUCACCUGGUGGAUGUGCUGCUAAGCAUGCACAAGGAGGGCAGGCUCGACAUGGACGCCGUGAAAAACAUCAUCUUCGUAAGUAGCUAGAGACUCUUUAACUAGCUAGACCAGAAGCUCCCAUGCAUCCUCAAAUACUAUGCAACUGUAAUUGGUUGGCGCGCGCAUGCAGGACAUAUUCAGCGCCGGCAGCGAGACGACAGUCAUAGAGUGGGCGAUGGCAGAGCUGAUGAGGAACCCAGAGGCGAUGCGGAAGGCCACGGCUGAGGUGCGGCGAGCUUUGGAGGCCCGCGGCAGCGUAGAGGAGCACGCCCUUGGCGAGCUCCCGUACCUGCACCUGGUCAUCCGGGAGGCGCUGCGGCUGCACGCGCCCACGCCGCUGCUCAUCCCGCGGGAGUGCCGGGAGCCAUGCCAGGUGCUCGGCUACGACGUGCCGCGAGGAACGCAGGUGUUCGUCAACGCAUGGGCGAUAGCCCGCGACGAGCGGUACUGGCCCGACGCGCCGGAGGAGUUCCGGCCGGAGCGGUUCGAGGGCGAGGGCGCCGUGGACUUCAGGGGCAACGACUUCUCCUUCCUGCCAUUCGGCUCCGGCCGGAGGAUGUGCCCGGGGAUGGCGUUCGGCCUCGCCAUCAUCGAGCUCACGCUCGCGAGCCUGCUGUUUCACUUCGACUGGGAGGUCUUGCCGGGUGCGGCGGGCGAGCUCGACAUGGCCGAGGUGUUUGGCCUCGCGGCGCGCCGGAAGGCCGACCUCCCGCUGCGCCCUGUCCUGAGGGUGCCCGUUCCUGGACUCUAGCGCCUGCGCGUCAAUCUAUCUGUUCCACACGGUAAGAGGGCAUUAUAUUGCACCUGCAUCAAUGCAUGCGCUUAAAUAAAUUACAGUAAUAUCUGUAUAAAUGUCAUCAAAAUAAGAUUGUCUAUCGUACGUACAGUAUGCAUAACAUAAAGUCUUGGCACGUACGCAUGCAUAUCUGUUCAAGUGUUGGCUUAUCAAUCUUAUUAUUAUGUUUGCAAUUGGGCUUACUGGAGCUUAGUUUCCCACGAGCCCGCGAUUUGUGUUGGCCGUGCUAGCUUGUAAACUCUUGGUCAAUGUAUUUUCUCGAUUGUAUUUAUGAUUUAAGAGCAUUUCGAAAACAGUGCAGUACUCGUUGAGUGGCAUAGAGCAUAUUUUCGUUUACAAAAGUCAAACUGUUCCUCGGAAUGAUGGAAAUGCACAACGAGAUAACGCCUUUUCAGUUUUCACACAGAACAACUUUUCAAAUCCUUGACGGUUUAAGAGCAAUUUUUAAAAUGUUAAUCGCGAGCUGAUUUUUUUUGUCGGCACACAUGCGAACUCAUCUGAAGAGCAACCAAACUACAGGCGCCUUUUUCUUUUUGCGAUUCAAUGAGCUUUAUGGAUCAAAUAUCAGAAUUACAAUCCCGCUGAAGAGUUUCAGCAAGAAAGAGGGGGCGGGGGUGUAAUUAAGCCAUAAGCAUCUACAUCUGGACUCCUCGCUCUCUUUGCACAAAGAUGCGCUGCACUAUUAUCAUCCCUCCCAAUAAAGCUCAGAGUAAAACUUAAGAAACUAGCACUCAUCUCCUUAAUAUUUUUUCCUGUAUGCUUCCAACUUACGCUCUAUCAAAAUUAUUGUCCUUCCAAAGGUUGACAAUACACUGGGCAUCUGUAUCAACAUGGACCUGUUGAAUAACUUGCUCCACUGCCAACUGUGUAGAGUCUCUCACUGCGGGCGCCUAUGCAUUCCCUGAUCCCAAAACUGAUCAACCUCACGAGAUGGACAAGUGAACUGCAACAGGACAGUACAGUCCCCGAUGGGGGAAAAUGAACUUCGGCACAAAAACAAAGGGUGUGUUUGGUUAUCUAUGAAUUUGCUUGCAUUGCAUACAUGUCCCAGUUCAGCCUGGUUGAAGGAAAACAUGCAAAAAAUAUAUCCAAAAAAGCAAUGGAGCAGAAAUGCAAUAGUAAGCAUGCAUGAUCAUAAGAGGCACAGCAAGUUCAACCUAGCAAUAUUAUGGUGUCAUCCUACCACCACAUCCAAAAAAGGGUGUAAUCUUACCACCGCAAGUUCGCCAUCAGUGUGAGGGGUUACUAUAUACCACCUCAGCAAAAUAUACAGAUCAACAAAUAGUUUUCAAGCCCUAGCUACACAAAAUAUACAUCAUCGUCGCCAUUGCCAUUGCUAUCGCCGUCGAGGAUCAUGCACGCAAAGUGCGAUGUUUUCAGUUGGCCGUGCGACACUGCAGAUACCUACACCGCAAAGUCCACCUACAAGCGGCUGUGCCAUGGCUUGACCCGCUCUGUUGCUGUCAAUCGUAUCUGGAGAAGCUGGGCGCCACUCAAAUGCAAAAUCGCUUGGUUGGCUUCCCAGUGCCGGAUGUGGACGUCGGACCGAAGAGCUAGACAUGGACUACAAGAGGCCGCGUCGGCAUGCUACACCUGCUGCUAGGAAGAGGACACAGUUGAUCACAUACUAGCUCAUUGCGUCUAUGCGAGGUGGAACGGUUGCUUCGAGUUCUUACAAGUCAACAUACAAAUUCCAAGUCACGAUGACACUUUCAUAGAGUGGUGGGAGAGGACGCGUGAUUCCUUUUGAGGCAAGGUCAAAAGAGGGUUCGACUCCUUCGUCAUUGCGACCGCGUGGCACCUAUGGAAGCAAAGGAACAAAGAGUGUUCGAUAGGGACGACCAAGUUAGAUCGAACGCUAGCCUAGUGCAACAAAUCUUCGAGGAGAUCAAACUGUGGAAACUAGCGGGAGUAGGUGUUUAGGAAUUAGCUAGAUUUGUGAGAGAGUUGGCUUUAUAUUUUUCUUAGAGUCGGAGGUCCCGUGUAGACGUUCAUUGUCAUUCACGGUCUCUUGUAAUCUAUAUUUCUCCCUUCUAUAAAAAUACAGUACGCCUUUGAUGUACUCUCGAAAAAAAACCGCAACCUCGAUGUCCUAGAAUGUUGCACAUCAGUUUAAUGCACACAUGUAUUAGUAUCCCAUAUUUCCUACUCCCUCCGUCACGGUUUAGAAGGCACACUUCAGUUUUUAUGCAUUUUCAGAAAAGGAGAGGAUUAAGGCGUGUGGGCAAUUAAUGCUGAGUUCAUCAGGCCGUUUUGAGUGCGCGUAGGUUGCAUCCCAAGCACGCGGUCCUUUUUCUCCACCACUGCAUGCGUUAGGACUGCUCGUUUACUGGCAAGGAAUUAUAAAUGCAUGUAUGCCCGCAAAAAGUUAGCAGCGACAACGACCAAAUGUCGCCGUGUCCAAGACAUCCUUAUCAACAGGGGCGGACCCAGGACAAAAAUGACCCGGUGUCCACAUGUACAUUACAUACAUGUGGAUAUCAAGCAAUGUUAUACAUAAAAGUCACACACUCAUCAAAUACACAGGCACUUUCCAUCACUGGUUUUGAACAUUGUAAUAGGGAAUCAAUUAUUGUUGCUAAUGAGCUUGCGAGGGGAGCUGAGUUCUCUACAACUUAUGACUGGUUUCAGGAGCAUCUGAAUGAUAUUGUAUCCCUCCUCAUAGAAAAUAUAACUGUUAUUCAAUUAAAUAAAACUCUACUUUUGUUAAAAAAAACAUGGGCACUUGUUCUUUUUAUUAAUAUCUAAUCAUGUUUUUUCUUUGUGAAAGUCCACAAGUGACAUUCAGUAAUAAGCAGCUCAUAUCCGAAAAUUGCGUUGGGUGCACGUACAGUGGGUUUAUCUGUAUACAAGUAUAUUUGUAGAGCUAGCGAGGCAGGCUAACCAUCCGUCGAUGACAACUCGGAGAUUUUGAUGAUGAUCUCCUCUAGAAGCGACGGACACGUGCUUUUUAGAUCCUUGAACCCCUUAGUUUCCACCACUUCCUCUAGCACAUGCGGCUGCGAGAUGUGCUCCAUGCAGAAGUCCUUGAGCCCCUGGCAAAGGUGGCAGUCCGCCAGCUUCAACGUGCCCACCACAUUCUUGCCGUGACGUGCUCGCAAUGUUCUCGCACAUGGCCUUCAUCCUCUCCAAGCCGAACCGGUCCGCCGCAGCUAGCAUCUCCCGAGCCAUUGUCGUGGUGUUUCCCAAGUGCUCGGGCAGCUCGUCGGUGUAGAUGAAGUCGAGAAUGGACCUAAAAAUGUGGGCCUCUAUGUCAUCCAUCCUAACGCAAUGGUCCAUGGUGUCGGCCUCCGCGCCAUGGCUUUGUGCAGGACCGGCGCACGCACGGCGAUCACAAGCCGGUGUGCGCGGAGCUCGGUGUCUCCAACCAGGAAUGUGACGUCGGAGCCCUACUCGCUCACCAGUAGCUUCUCCAGGUGCGAGUUGAUGUUGGACGACGGCACGGCGAUCGUUGUCGCGGUAGCUCCGGUGGUGAUGGUAUUGGUGCAGGGGUACUCCUUGGUGACCGAGACGUCGCAGUGUAUGGUGAGGGAGCCGUCGUGUCCGACGUAGCAUGACUUGGUAGACGCCAGGUCAAAGAACUUGUGCAUUCCCACGAAUUUAUGCGUAGUGUACAAGUCAUCAAUCCAACAGAAGACCGGUGGCAAUUUGCCGCUCGGGUCACACAUCUUCAAGGUACACGCCACCCACACGUCGCCAGCAGCUUCAGGAGGACUAGUUAUCAUCUUGAGGAACAGGCCUAUGUGCUCCUCUUCGUCUUCCUCCUUGCGCCCGUCGUGGAUUCCCGACGGGUAGAGGAGGAUAAUCCAGCCAUGACCGCCGAUCUGGAAAGUGCCAGAUCGGAUGCAUUCGUCGACGCCGAACCUCCUCUGCAUGGCACUGAAGUUUGGGAUCCUGAACUCGUGCGUGCCUUUGAACGUCUCCGACGAGUUCAACAUGGACGCGCUCUUUUGUGGCUGCUGAGUAUAGCUGCUACUGGCCAUUGAGGAGGAGGAAGAAGAUGACGAUGACGACGACGACAAUGAUGAUGACGACGACAAUGACGAUGAUGAAGAGGAGGUGUUCGUGCAGGGAACCACUGCCCGCGUCCAUAUUUUCUCUAAGACGUCGGACACAAAGACGCCACACGUUUCCUUGAGCUCCUUGUACUCCUCCGUUGCCACCACGGCGGCGUAGACAUUGGGGUCGGACGUCAUGUACUCAACGCAGGCGGCCUCUAGCUGCCGGAAGCUAUCUCGGCCGUGCACCAGCAUCAGUGUCGUCAUCACAGAUCUGGCGUUCAUGUUGUCUGCAAGUAUCUUCUCGCGCAUGAGCCUCAGCCUCUCCAGGUCGUACCAAUCCGUGGCCACGAGUAAAUCACCUGCCAUGCCCAGGUGGUUGCCGUUUUUUUGCUUUGAGCUCGUCGGUGUAGAUGAAGUGCAGCAUGGCCCUGAAUGUGGAGGCGGUCAUGUCGUCGACAGUGACGCGGGAGCGCGCGGCGCUCUCCUUCAUCUCCCUGAGCAGCUCGGCGGCGAACACCGGCGACCGCAUGGCGAGCACGAGCCUGUGCGCCCGGAUCUCGGUCUGCUCCUCCACCACGAACGUCACGUCCGUCGCGAAGCGCGUGUCCGACUUGUCUGCCUUCAACGACUGCGACUCAUCCAGGAGCUUGCGGAGAUCACGGAGGAUGCUGGGCGGCGGCACGAUGGAGACGGAGCAGUCCUUAGUCGCGGCCUCGUCGGCCUCCUCUUGGAGGACGUCGACGGUGCAGUGGAUGGUGAGCCGGUCGUCCCUGACGUAGAGUGACUCCCGGAACGCGUCGGGGACGGGCAGCUCCCAGUAGCUUUUGCCGGUGCACUCAUCGGGGUCGUCGUCGUACCCACGACCGCGGGCGGCGGCGAGGAAGGUUUUGGCCACGGCGCUCCGCCACACGGCAGGCGGCCACCGGCGAGGACCGCCCUUCAUCUCCGGCAGUGCCGGGUCGUCGAUCCGGAGGCUGGCCCUGGUGACCACGUCGUGGCCGUCGUUGGAGACGAGCUGGAGGGUGAUGCAGACGAGCUGGAUCUGGUCCCCGGAACCGCGACGCCGCGCGUAGGCAUAGGGGUCGUCGAAGCAGCAGAUGAGGGCCCAGGUGCAGCCGCCGGCCUGGAAGUCGGCCGACCUGACGGUGUUGCGGACGCCGAGGUCCUUGCGCGCGCGGUAGCCGACGAUGUCGAAGCUGUGCCGACGGCCUCAUCUAUGCCGACGGCCCCUAUGCCUACGCGCGGCGUCCAAGGACAGGCCGUAGGCGUAGAGAAGCCGUCGGCAUAGGUCCAUCUAUGCCGACGGGGCCGUCGGCAUAGACGUGGCCGUCGGGACCGCUCGAGAUAUGCCUACGGGGACCGUCGGCAUAGGCGCGGCCGUCGGCAUAGCCCGGGCCCACCUACCCGGUCAGCGCUGACCGUUUGACGGCGUUGAAACUACGUCGACGGGAGGUAACGGCGGCCGUCGGCAUAUCUAUGGCAGAGGUAUGCCUACGGCAUAGCCGUCGGCAUAGACCUGGCCCAUGCCCCUCUGCCACGUCAUCGAUCCGUGUGCGCAGCUAUGCCGUCGGCAUAUAUUUAUUUUUAAUUUUGCUUUAUACUAUCUAUGGCAAAGGUAUGCCUACGGCAUAGCCGUCGGCAUAGGCCGCUCUGCCACGUCAUCGAUCCGUGUGCCAUGCCACGUCAUUGAUCCGUGGGACUGCCUCUCCGUGUGUGCACAGAUAUGCCGACGGCCUUGCCGUCGGCAUACAUUUAUUUUACUUUAUUUUUUUAUUUUUACUUUAUUUUGUAUUUUUACUUUAUUUUAAUUUUUGUUUUUCCAUAAGAUAAUUAUGCCUUAUCUACAAAAACGUACCCCGAUGGUAUAUCGAUUGCCCCCCAUUACGAACGUCGCUAUCGCCGUGUCAUGGAGGGGGGAAACUGUCGACACGGAGGGAAUUCUGGUUGGUGGGGGAUUCGGGGUGUAGCUAUGUCACCGAAACAUCGCACGGGUCCCGAUGCAUAUGUGAAAAUGUUCAGGCAUGCGUAGACGCCCGUCUUGGGGCUCCGCGGUGUGCCCCCCUGCACGCAAGGCAGUGCCGGCGUCACUUGGAGGGGGCCAAACCCCAGAGACGCGUGCCGCCUUUUCGGACAUGCCACCACACCACCCCGCAUGUAUGGGGGCCCGGUGCGACCCUCGGGUGGCAUUGCUACCCCCCAGGCCCCCCGUCCCGCCUAACCCUGUAGCGUUUGACCACGGGAUCUAGCCCUUUGACUUUGCACGGACGGGCUUUGAGCAGUGGACCUAUCCACCUGGUUGUGUUAGGUAAGCCCAUAGGAACACUUUGGAGCAACAUCCGGGCCAGACCCACAGCAAGAUCCCCUCCGUGUAGACCCGACGCGUCCGUUUUCCCCCUCCAGGUGCCGGCGGCGGCGCCGUCCGUGAGGGGGGGCACACCCCGGAGACGCGUGCCGGGCGUUUGCACCCGCCACAACACUUCCAGACUUGUGAGAGGCCGCCUACGCAAGAUUUGGCGGCAUGCUAGCCCCCGGAGGCCGCCGGCCAUAGUCGUAGACACGCGAAGAGCAAUCCGCAUAGAGGGAAUUGUUCAGAUACUACUCCAUCACGAACAAUUAUGAAAAAUUACCAUCAGUCCUACAGCACAUGUGCCCGCGUCGUGUAAAAAACUCAUGAUUUUAUCGCGCUCCGAGUAUUUAAUAAUAUUCACGCCGCAUCGUUACCGCAGAACGUCUACUACCGUGUCAUCGCCGUUCGUGAGGGGGGGCACCCCCCGGAGACGCGUGCCGCCUCUUCGGACAUGCCACCACACCACCCCGCAUGUAUGGGGCCCNNNNNNNNNNNNNNNNNNNNNNNNNNNNNNNNNNNNNNNNNNNNNNNNNNNNNNNNNNNNNNNNNNNNNNNNNNNNNNNNNNNNNNNNNNNNNNNNNNNNNNNNNNNNNNNNNNNNNNNNNNNNNNNNNNNNNNNNNNNNNNNNNNNNNNNNNNNNNNNNNNNNNNNNNNNNNNNNNNNNNNNNNNNNNNNNNNNNNNNNNNNNNNNNNNNNNNNNNNNNNNNNNNNNNNNNNNNNNNNNNNNNNNNNNNNNNNNNNNNNNNNNNNNNNNNNNNNNNNNNNNNNNNNNNNNNNNNNNNNNNNNNNNNNNNNNNNNNNNNNNNNNNNNNNNNNNNNNNGCGUUUGACCAUGGGAUCUAGCCCUUUGACUUUGCACGGACGGCUUUGAGCAGUGGACCUAUCCACCCGGUUGUGUUAGGUGAGCCCAUAGGAACACUUUGGAGCAACAUCCAGGCCAGACCCACAGCAAGAUCCCCUCCGUGUAGACCCGACGCGUCCGUUUCCCCCCUCCAGGUGCCGGCGGCAGCGCCGUCCGUGAGGGGGGGCACACCCCGGAGAUGCGUGCUGGGCGUUUGCACCCGCCACAACACUUCCAGACAUGUGAGAGGCCGCCUACACAAGAUUUGGCGGCAUGCUAGCCCACGGAGGCCGCCGGCCACAGUCGAAGACACGCGAAGAGCAAUCCGCAUAGAGGGAAUUGUUCAGAUACUACUCCAUCACGAACAAUUAUGAAAAAUUACCAUCAGUCCUACAGCACAUGUGCCCGCGUCGUGUAAAAAACUCAUGAUUUUAUCGCGCUCCGAGUAUUUAAUAAUAUUGACGCCGCAUCGUUACCGCAGAACAUCUACUACCGUGUCAUCGCCGUUCGUGAGGGGGGGCACCCCCCGGAGACGCGUGCCGCCUCUUCGGACAUGCCACCACACCACCCCGCAUGUAUGAGGGCCCGGUGCGACGCUCGGGUGGCAUUGCUACCCCCCCAGGCCCCCCGUCCCGCCAAACCCUGUAGCGUUUGACCACGGGAUCUAGCCCUUUGACUUUGCACGGACGGGCUUUGAGCAGUGGACCUAUCCACCCGGUUGUGUUAGGUGAGCCCAUAGGAACACUUUGGAGCAACAUCCAGGCCAGACCCACAGCAAGAUCCCCUCCGUGUAGACCCGACGCUUCCGUUUCCCCCCUCCAGGUGCCGGCGGCAGCGCCGUCCGUGAGGGGGGGCACACCCCGGAGACGUGUGCUGGGCGUUUGCAACCGCCACAACACUUCCAGACUUGUGAGAGGCCGCCUACACAAGAUUUGGCGGCAUGCUAGCCCCCGGAGGCCGCCGGCCACAGUCGUAGACACGCGAAGAGCAAUCCGCAUAGAGGGAAUUGUUCAGAUACUACUCCAUCACGAACAAUUAUGAAAAAUUACCAUCAGUCCUACAGCACAUGUGCCCGCGUCGUGUAAAAAACUCAUGAUUUUAUCGCGCUCCGAGUAUUUAAUAAUAUUCACGCCGCAUCGUUACCGCAGAACAUCUACUACCGUGUCAUCGCCGUUUGUGAGGGGAGGCGCCCCCCGGAGACGCGUGCCGCCUCUUCGGACAUGCCACCACCACCCCGCAUGUAUGAGGGCCCGGUGCGACGCUCGGGUGGCAUUGCUACCCCCCAGGCCCCCCGUCCCGCCAAACCCUGUAGCGUUUGACCACGGGAUCUAGCCCUUUGACUUUGCACGGACGGGCUUUGAGCAGUGGACCUAUCUACCCGGUUGUGUUAGGUGAGCCCAUAGGAACACUUUGGAGCAACAUCCAGGCCAGACCCACAGCAAGAUCCCCUCCGUGUAGACCCGACGCGUCCGUUUCCCCCCUCCAGGUGCCGGCGGCAGCGCCGUCCGUGAGGGGGGGCACACCCCGGAGACGUGUGCUGGGCGUUUGCACCCGCCACAACACUUCCAGACUUGUGAGAGGCCGCCUACACAAGAUUUGGCGGCAUGCUAGCCCCCGGAGGCCGCCGGCCACAGUCGAAGACACGCGAAGAGCAAUCCGCAUAUAGGGAAUUGUUCAGAUACUACUCCAUCACGAACAAUUAUGAAAAAUUACCAUCAGUCCUACAGCACAUGUGCCCGCGUCGUGUAAAAAACUCAUGAUUUUAUCGCGCUCUGAGUAUUUAAUAAUAUUCACGCCGCAUCGUUACCGCAGAACGUCUACUACCGUGUCAUCGCCGUUCGUGAGGGGGGGGGGCACACCCCAGAGACGCGUGCCGCCUCUUCGGACAUGCCACCACACCACCCCGCAUGUAUGGGGGCCCGGUGCGACGCUCGGGUGGCAUUGCUACCCCCCAGGGCCCUCGUCCCGCCUAACCCUGUAGCGUUUGACCACGGGAUCUAGCCCUUUGACUUUGCACGGACGGGCUUUGAGCAGUGGACCUAUCCACCCGGUUGUGGUAGGUCAGCCCAUAGGAACACUUUGGAGCAACAUUCGGGCCAGACCCACAGCAAGAUCCCCUCCGUGUAGACCCGACGCGUCCGUUUCCCCCCUCCAGGUGCCGGGUACCGGGUCCCAUACAGACGGUAAACUAAGAAUAUAAAAAUGUAAUAAUUGAAUUGAUUAAAAACUUCGGUAUUCAUCAUUGAAAAUGUACAAUUGCUGUGAACCUUUUAGUGCUCGGGCACCGGGCCGGCUGCCCGGGCACGCCCGGUGCCCGAGCACUGAAAAGUUCACAGCAAUUGUCCAUUUUCUUCAUAUAAGUCUAAUGAAUACCGGAGCUUAUGACGUAUGGAUUAGUGAACUAUUUAAACAGGUCAAAUUGCUUUUCCCUCGGCGAGGUGGGACUAUUUUUUCAAAAAAAAGUAGUUGCCAUCUAUGCCGACGGCAUAGCCGUUGACAUAGGCCUCCUCUCUAUGCCGACGGCCAGGCCCUCGGCAUAGAGCCACCCUUAUCCACUCGAUGGCCCUCUCGCUGUCAGGUGGGACCACUCCUAUGCCGACGGCCUGGCCAUCGGCAUAGGGCCACCUUAUCCUCGACACCCCGGCCCUCCUCCUCCACUCGUUUCUCUCCUCGCACCCCGAUCCAACUCCCUCUCCUCGACACCCAACCGCCGCCGCCACCCUCUCCGCGCCGUCGACGCCCCCCUAGCCGCUCGCCCCGCCACCGGCCGCCGCCAUCUCCACCCACCCGCGCCGCGCCGCCGUCAUCUCCGCCCUACCCGCCCCGCCGCCAUCUCCACCCACCCGCGCCGCCGCCCCCCCCCGGCCGGAGUCCCCGGCCUGAUCUCNNNNNNNNNNNNNNNNNNNNNNNNNNNNNNNNNNNNNNNNNNNNNNNNNNNNNNNNNNNNNNNNNNNNNNNNNNNNNNNNNNNNNNNNNNNNNNNNNNNNNNNNNNNNNNNNNNNNNNNNNNNNNNNNNNNNNNNNNNNNNNNNNNNNNNNNNNNNNNNNNNNNNNNNNNNNNNNNNNNNNNNNNNNNNNNNNNNNNNCGGCCCCCUCCGACGUCGCCACCUCCCCCGCCCCUGCUGUCCUCCAGCCGCUCCGGUGCUGCUUCCCCUCGGUGAGCUCCCCCGCCCCCCGGUCACUCGCCGGAGUUGUAGCUGAUGCCGCUGUUGUGUUAGCUAGAUAGACAAAAUUAGUGUAGUGCAAUUAUUUUGUAUGUUUAGUGCAAUUUUAGUAGAUAGAUAGAGAAAUGUUAAAAUUUGGAUAGUUGAAUGAAAUGGAUAGAUAAGUAGAUAAAUUUCUAGGUACAUCAAUGUAUGGAUAGGUAGGUACAUUUUAGUUUUGACCAAAAAAAUUAAUCAAUGCGGUAAAAAUUUAAUUUGAAGUAUCAUGAUCAUCUAAGUUUUUUACUUUAUGUUUUGAAUAAUGUAGAAUAUAUGCAUUCUGUCCUACAAUUUGAGAUGUUGUUGAAAUGCUACAUGAGAUGCGAAGUUCCAAAUAUUUUACUCGGUGGAAUUUAAAGGGUUUGUGGCGUCGCAUCUCUCGAUAUGAUAUGUAGAUAGAUGUUUUGUGAAGUAGAUAGAUAGACCGAUGUUAAAAUUCGGAUCAUGGUUAGUGGUUAGUUCAUCAUGAUGAUAUUGCAAAAAAAAAAUUGAAGACAAAAUUUUGAUUGACUCAGAUGUGAUGAUCUAAGUUGUUCUUUCGGUGGAUUUUGCAGGCUUUGUGGUGUCGCAUUUCAGCGGAGUGACCGUUGUCCGACGCGUUGGUCCCCCUGAGCAUCCCUCUGCUGUUCGACUACUUCCUCUACAGCCGAGGGUGAGCUACAAGUCCAUCUCCUCCCUUUUUUCAUAUCACUAGAUUUCAUUCUCAAGUCACCUGGCGUAACCUAGGUCUCCCGUCCGAAAGGGUUGCAUCGAUAAAUAUGCAUUCAAUUGCAUAUUUAUCACCGCAGCUCUUUUAGAUUGUCCAGCGUUUUCCAUGGACAGCCCGAGGAUGUGUAGAUUGAUUAUGUUCUCCAUGUUCUACCCUGUUCCGAGACAGGAUUUCGGCGCCCAUUGUUCUCCGGAGCACAUUCUCUCGGCUAUUUGCCGAGACGUGUAUCUGGAGAACAGCAGGGAGGUGCUGCCGAAAUUUUGUCUAGUAACAGGGUAGAAUGGAGAACGUACUCAAUCUACACAUCCUCGGGUGGGAUUAGGACCCAUCUUUACCUAUUAGAGAUGUAGGUGGAUUCAACGCGGUAGAAACUGAAAAUUUGAUGUGAUUAAUUUAAGUGAAUCCUUAAUUAUGUUGUGUGGCUUGCAAAAAAGCAGAGGAUGGCAGAUAAUCAGUGGAUGUACAGUGGUUUUAUCCGUCGGAAUCGAGUAACAUCAGAGUGGAUCGCGAAAACCGAUGUGUAUUUGAAGGAGAUAUUCCGUCGUCCAAGGAGAAUUAUCCCACCAUGCCCUUGUGCGAGAUGUGCGAGAUGUGCCAGACGUCACCGUAGAAAUCAGAUGGACAUGAGUGAGCACCUUCGCACGCACGGAUAUAUGCCAAACUUUGACAUGCCGCCGAUAAACAUAGCCGAGCAGAACCGUGGUAGAGAGGAGGUGAUGCGACAACGCAUCGAUGGAUAUGAGGACGACGGGGUCAGGGACAUGCUAGAUGAUGUCAUUGUUGCAGAAACGGGAAAUGCGACACCUUCAGAGAAUGAACCGGAGGAGCCGGAGGCAACCGCAAAGGCCUUCUUGGAGGUCUUGGCCUCGUCGAAGAAACCUCUUUAUGCGGGUGCGAAAAUAUCUCAGCUGGAUGCCAUCUCGCAACUGAUUGCAGUCAAGGCUGAGUACGUCUGUAGCCAGAAAUGCUUCGAAGCAUUAUUGGGAGUAUGGGCUAACAGCCUCCCUGAGGGUCAUGAACUGCCGAAAAGCAUGUACGAUACAAAGAAAAUCAUGAAGGCACUCUCUAUGGAUUAUGAGAAAAUAGAUGUUUGCCCGAAGAAUUGCCUUUUGUUUAGGCACGAGUAUGCGGAUGACAAGUACUGUAGGCAGUGCGGUUCGUCUCGGUACAUUGAGGUGGUCGGUGAGGAUGGUGAGAAAAAGCAGCUAACCAUCCCCAUUAAGGUUCUUCGGUAUCUUGAUUUUAUAAAAAGACUGCAGCGCCUUUUCAUCAUGAAGGAGUCUGCCAAAAUGAUGAAGUGGCACAAGGAAGGUAUAAGGUACAAUCCAAAAAAAAUCGUACAUCCAUCGGAAGGGGAAGCAUGGAAGUCGUUCGAUGAAGAAUACCCCGAGGAAGCAGCCGAGGCUGGGAAUGUCAGAAUAGCCAUAUCAGGUGAUGGGUUGAAUUCAUAUGGUAUGUCGUCCAAUCCAUACAGCUGCUGGCCCGUGUUUGUAAUUCCGCUCAAUCUUCCUCCCGGUGCCCUAAUGCAACGCAAGACCAUGUUCUUGUUGCUCAUCAUUCCGGGGCCUGAUUAUCCGGGGAAGCAAUUGGGUGUGUUUAUGCAGCCGCUGGAGGAUGCUUUGCACCAUUCUUGGUACUUUCCGACGUUGACAUACGACCGGGAUCUGCAGAGAAAUUUCUUGAUGAAAGUUUGGUUGCACUAUUGCAUGCAUGACUUUCCCGGCUAUGCUCUAUUCUGCGGAUGGUGUACAAGUGGGAAGAUGCCAUGCCCAGUGUGCAUGCAGGCUCUGCGAAUGAUUUGGCUGAGUAAGGGUGGCAAGUAUGUAGCCUUUGACCUGCAUCGACAGUUCCUCCCUCCAGACCAUCCAGACAGGGAAGACAAGAAGAACUUCACGAAAGGCCGGGUUGUUCAUGAAGUAACCGAGAUUCCAACAUUUUUGGGGGCAGAUGUUCUUGCUCAGCUAAAAGCUCUCCAACCUAAAGUCAAAGGCAAAGCCAAAGCCAAAGCCAAAGGCUUCGAGGGAUAUGGUGAGACGCACAACUGGACUCACAUUACCCCCUUCUCACAGCUUCCCUAUUUCAAGGACCUCAAACUUCCUUACAAUAUCGAUGUGAUGCACACCGAAAAGAAUGUGGCAGAGUCCCUUUUCCACACGAUCCUCAAUAUUCCUGAUAAGACGAAGGAUAACAUUAAAGCUAGAGCCGAUCAACAGAGAAUUUGUGAUAGACCACGUCUGAACAUGAAGCCUCCCACAGGCGGUCGAAAAAACUGGUUCAAGCCAGAUGCUGACUUUGUCCUUAAACCGCCAGAAAAAAAAGGAAGUACUUAUCUGGCUGAAACACAUUUUGAAGUUCACCGAUGGUUAUGCAUCGAAUAUAAGUAAGCGAGUCAAUCUUUCAACGGGCAAAGUGACCGGCCUGAAGAGUCAUGACUACCAUGUAUGGAUUGAGUGGAUAAUGCCGGUGAUGGUUCGAGGCUAUGUCCCCGAGCAUGUCUGGCGAGUGCUUGCCGAGCUAAGCCAUUUCUUCCGCACGCUCUGUGCUAAAGAAGUAAGUAAAGACGUGAUUGAAAAAUUGCAUAAGAAGGCACCGGAGUUGAUAGUCAAGCUAGAGAAGAUCUUUCCGCCAGGCUUCUUUACACCGAUGACACAUCUCAUUCUGCACCUCGCGAACGAGGUAUUGUUGGGGGGGCCUGUGCAGAAUCGCUGCCAGUACGGCCCUGAGAGACAGAACAAGCAUCUCCGACAGAAAUGUGGAAACAAAGCUAAGAUUGAAGCUUCCAUAGCUGAGGCAGUUAUCCUAGAGGAGGUGUCAGACCUCAGCACAUCAUACUAUCCAGACCACGUUCCCCAUCUGCAUAACAAGGUGCCUCGAUACAAUAUAGAAGAGCCGAAGUAUCAACCCAAGCUCCAUCUAUUCAACGCGCAAGGUGGGAGGGCUGGGGCCUCGAAACCUUAUAACAUGCCACGACAAGAGUGGGAGGACCUCAUGUUCUAUAUCUUGCACAACAUCAGGGAAGUUGAGGAAGUGUGGAUGAGGUAAUGCCACUACACCAUUCCUUUAUGUCUUCCACAUCAUCAUGUUUUAUGUUCACUUAGUCCCGGUCUAACACCGAUUUUCUUUUUUUUAGUGAUUUCGUUCAAGAGGAAUGGACGGGAAUGAAUCCUCCUACUGAGGCGGAGGCACUUACUCUUCUCCGUCAUGGAAACCCUGGACGUAAAAUUUUUGUUGCUUGGUUCAUGGAGAAAGUAAUUUUCCACACUCCCCUAUUAAAUACCUAGUUCAACAUUUAUUAGUUAACUAAUGCACGCAACAAUUUCAAUUAUACUUGUAGGGAAAAGAUCCGAACAUAUCUAUGGAUGAUGAAUUGAGAUGGGUUUCCAUGGGUUUUGACCCUGCCGUCAUGACAUGUAAAAAGUAUGAUGUGAAUGGGUAUCGCUUACAUACAGAGGAGCACCAGAACAGCCGCCCUGAUCCCAAAACUAUAAAUACCGGAGUGUACACCCCCGGUCAAAAUUCAGUAGACUACUACGGAAGGGUACAAAAUAUAUACGAGAUUAAAUUCCACCAGGGGCGCGAGACCCUAAGUCUGCCUGUGUUCAAAUGUCGAUGGUUCGAUCCGCGGGAGGGGGUAAAACAUACGCCUUCCAUUGGUUUGGUCGAAGUUAAACCAUCAACCGUCUAUGCCGGAGCCGAUCUCUUCAUUGCGGCUACCCAAGCUACACAAGUAUAUUAUCUGCCUUACCCCUGCCAGAAAGAGUACCUAAAGGGUUGGGAAGUUGUGUUCAAGGUGUCGCCACAUGGUAAGCUACCGAACCUGAAUGAAGACGAUUACUACAACAUUAACCCCAUGACAUACGAGGGAGUGUUCUAUCAAGAGCAACCUGAUGAUGAUGAUGUGGUUAGAAACGAUGACGCUAGACCAUUGGGUGAUGAUGAUGUGGAUCCAAACGACGACGAAGCACGGAAUGAUGGUGAGACCAUUGUCAAUGAAAAUGACAUACUUAUGCUAGAAAAGUUAAACGAAGACGCUGACGACGAGGAAGAGCCUCCACCUCCGUCAGACAACAAAGAUGAUAUGAUUGAUAGUGAUGAUGAGACGGACCGAGAAAGAGGUUACAACAGUGAUGAUUCAUAUGGUUUCUAGCAGAUGUACGUGUCAAGUCUUUUUUUCUAUAGUUUAGGAAUAUGCCUUUUAUGCAUUUUUAUUAAUGUGUUUAUUAUCAUGCCUUUUCCUUCAUUUCAUUAAUUUACUAAUUGCUUAUUCUCUUUUCAAUGCAGGUUCGUGGAACAUGGGCAAGGGGAAGGCCGACGGCGUGGGUUUCCUACGCAAGGUCGUUGGCCUGCCUAGUCGGAGUGGUCGAGCACGUAAUCCUCCCCCCGGCUACUUGACGAUGACUCCUCACAGGGAGGUCGAGGGAGAGGUGCCCCUAGAGGAGGAGUGGGCGGGGGGAGAGCCCCUAGAGGGCGAGGUGGUGGGGGGAGAGCCACUACAGGGGUUCGCGGCCAGAAAGAGCGCACCCUCACCGACUUAGGGGUGUUGUCUUCGAGGCCAUCCUCUAGUGAGGUACCCUCCUCUAGUGAGGUACCCUCCUCUGGUGAGGAGGAGGAGGACGACGAGGCAGGCGAGGAGGAGGAGGUUCGGGAUGGGGCCGAGGAGGAGGUGGAGGAGGAGGACGAGGAGGAGGAGGAUGAGGAGGAGGUUGGGGAGGGGGAGGCAGGCGAGGAGGAGGGUGGUGGCGGGGAUGAUGGUGCUGGCGGGGAGGGGGUUGACAACAAGGGGUGGCUGCAUGGUAACGCAAAGCUACCAAAGCAGGUUCCUGCUACUGAGGAGCAGAAGUGGCUCAUUGAGCCCACGGAGAAAGAGUAAAUGCCACUUUAUAAUAAUUUCAUUAUUUUGCUUGUCACAUGCUCAUUCCGGUUGUUAUUUAUUUUGCUUGUCACAUGCUAAUAGUUCAUUCUUUUGCAGCAACUGGAUAUAUUCUAAAGGGGUUCGUAUUCCCAACGGCCUCAUCACCGUCUUGCUGAAGUUACACUGGCCGGGGUUGUACUGUCCGGAUCCAGUCAGGCACCCGAACCAUCGGGUCUUGGCCACGAGCUGGGAGCACUGGGAAGCGGCCCUCCACGCGGACCAUGCGACCCAUGCCAAGGCCGUGAUCACCACUUUCUGGGUGAGUUCUCUUCAGAAGCACAAGUCCAUUCUAGUUUCAUGAAUGAUUUAACUCAUGGCUUCUUCCAUUCUUGUUUCGUGCAUGAUUGUAGAAAUUCUAUCGAGUUCUCCCGGAGAACAGGGCCAGAGCGGACCAGAUCGUGCUGCGCCAAUGCAAGAAGAAGGCCCGCCAGAUGCAGUACGAGGUGCGAUAUGUGGCCAUCUCGACAUACCAUCACGACUAUCUUGGUGUGAAGAUGACCAAGGAAGACGCGCGGAGGAUGGGCAUUACCUUGGAGAGGGACGAGUUCUUGAAGGUAAGUAUAAAAGAUUUUUCAUUAUGCUUUCAUUACCUUGUGGUACAUUUCACCGUUUCGUGUUGACAUGCCAUUAUGCUUUCAUUAUGUAGGUGUUACCAAAUUGGUGUUAUGGAAAAGACGAGUCCUGGGCGGCAUUGGUGGAUCUUUGGUGUGAUGAGGCUGGAGCCUGGGCGGCUAUGAGAGUCAAAAACAAGGCUAACCGAGGGAAGGAGGGAGUACAUGCUCAGGGAAACCGAAACCACUAUCUCCACAAGGCAGUUAAUGUAUGACUAACCCCAUUAAACAUUCUUCUUCUUCUGUUUACCAUUACUUUCUUAUGUAUGACUAACCUCUGUUUGGUGGUGCAGGAGGAGAAACUGAAGUGGCCGCUCUCACACAUGCAGGCGUGGGAGAUCGCCCAUACGCGGAAGGACCCCAAGCCUGGCGAGCCCAAGUACUACGGCAAGAAGACCGCGCAUAGGAAGAAGGCCUACUCCGAUGGGUAUCUGGCGUUACAUCCUGACACACCUGACCCCAUUGCGGCGGAUCUGGACGAAAGGGUGGUGGUGGGCAUGGGGCCGAAGGAGCACGGUCGGGAGGCGGUUCUCGAUGCUGUGAUCACUCCUACUAUCUCCUACACACAGCUCCGUCGGAUCGACCCGACCCUGAGCCAGCGCACGAGCACGCCCAUGAGCAGUGCACCAUCGCUGUCCCUCUUUCAGGAGCAGCAAACUGUAAGUAUUUUCCCUUUUAUCUUCAUUGCUCCCUUUAUUUUCCGCAUUUAGUAGUUUUAUGAGUUUCAUCAUGUCAUACUGUAGGCCUACAUGGAGUACACACGCCAGGAGACCAUGGCGUGGCACGACCGCCUUCAUGCAUACCAUCAGCAGAGGGAUCGCUAGAUGCAGCACGCUUUUCAGGAAAUGGCGGCCGGCAGGUGUCCUCAAUGGCCAUCAGCAGAGGGUCCUCCAGCACAACCAACGUUGCUGACCUUUGAGGAGUUUGUGGCACAGAACGCUUGCCCCUCACCGGUUAGUUCAUCCCCAAUCUAUUCACUCAAAGCAUUGUUGGGGGUCGUUGCAGAAUUUUAAAAUUUUCUACGCAUCACCAAGAUCCAUCUAUGGAGUAUACUAGCAACGAGGGGAAAGGAGUGCAUCUACAUACCCUUGUAGAUCGCGAGCGGAAGCGUUCAAGUGAACGGGGUUGAUGGAGCCGUACUUGCCGUGAUCCAAAUCACCGAUGACCGAGCGCCGAACGGACGGCACCUCCGCGUUCAACACACGUACGGAGCAGCGACGUCUCCUCCUUCUUGAUCCAGCAAGGGGGGAGGAGAGGUUGAUGGAGAUCCAGCAGCACGACGGCGUGGUGGUGGAAGUAGCGGGGAUCCCGGCAGGGCUUCGCCAAGCGCAAGCGGGAGAGAGGGGUGUCACGGGAGGGAGAGGGAGGCGCCAGGGGCUAGGGUACAGCAGCCCUCCCUCCCCCCUUUAUAUAGGCCCCCUGGGGGGCGCCGGCCCCUGGGAUCCCAUCUACAAGGGGGGCGGCGGCCAAGGGGGGGAAACUUCCCCCCCAAGCCAGGUGGGGCGCCCCCCACCCCCAGGGUUUCUAACCCUAGGCGCAGGGGGAGGCCCAUGGGGGGCGCACCAGCCCACUAGGGGCUGGUUCCCCUCCCACUUCAGCCCAUGGGGCCCUCCGGGAUAGGUGGCCCCACCCGGUGGACCCCCGGGACCCUUCCGGUGGUCCCGGUACAAUACCGAUAACCCCCGAAACUUUCCCGGUGGCCGAAACUGGACUUCCUAUAUAUAAUUCUUCACCUCCGGACCAUUCUGGAACUCCUCGUGACAUCCGGGAUCUCAUCCGGGACUCCGAACAACUUUCGUAUUUCCGCAUACUAAUAUCUCUACAACCCUAGCGUCACCGAACCUUAAGUGUGUAGACCCUACGGGUUCGGGAGACAUGCAGACAUGACCGAGAUGCCUCUCCGGUCAAUAACCAACAGCGGGAUCUGGAUACCCAUGUUGGCUCCCACAUGUUCCAUGAUGAUCUCAUCGGAUGAACCAUGAUGUCGAGGAUUCAAUCAAUCCCGUAUACAAUUCCCUUUGUCAAUCGGUACGUUACUUGCCCGAGAUUCGAUCGUCGGUAUCCCAAUACCUUGUUCAAUCUCAUUACCGGCAAGUCACUUUACUCGUACCGUAAUGCAUGAUCCCGUGGCUAACUCCUUAGUCACAUUGAGCUCAUUAUGAUGAUGCAUUACCGAGUGGGCCCAGAGAUACCUCUCCGUCAUACGGAGUGACAAAUCCCAGUCUCGAUCCGUGCCAACUCAACAGACACUUUCGGAGAUACCCGUAGUGUACCUUUAUAGUCACCCAGUUACGUUGUGACGUUUGGCACACCCAAAGCACUCCUAUGGCAUCCGGGAGUUGCACGAUCUCAUGGUCUAAGGAAAUGAUACUUGACAUUGGAAAAGCUCUAGCAAACGAACUACACGAUCUUUUGUGCUAUGCUUAGGAUUGGGUCUUGUCCAUCACAUCAUUCUCCUAAUGAUGUGAUCCCAUUAUCAAUGACAUCCAAUGUCCAUAGUCAGGAAACCAUGACUAUCUGUUGAUCAACGAGCUAGUCAACUAGAGGCUCACUAGGGACAUGUUGUGGUCUAUGUAUUCACACAUGUAUUACGAUUUCCGGAUAACACAAUUAUAGCAUGAACAAUAGACAAUUAUCAUGAACAAGGAAAUAUAAUAAUAACCAUUUAUUAUUGCCUCUAGGGCAUAUUUCCAACAGUCUCCCACUUGUACUAGAGUCAAUAAUCUCGUUAUAUUGUGAUGAAUCGAACACCCAUAGAGUUCUGGUGCUGAUCAUGUUUUGCUCUAGGGAGAGGUUUAGUCAACGGAUCUGCUACAUUCAGGUCCGUAUGUACUUUACAAAUAUCUAUGUCUCCAUUUUGAACACUUUCAUGAAUGGAGUUGAAGCGACGCUUGAUAUGCCUGGUCUUCCUGUGAAACCUAGGCUCCUUGGCAAGGGCAAUAGCUCCAGUGUUGUCACAGAAGAGAGUCAUCGGGCCCGAUGCAUUGGGAAUCACCCCUAGGUCGGUAAUGAUCUCCAUCCAGAUUGCUUCUUGUGCUGCCUCUGAGGCUGCCAUGUACUCCGCUUCACAUGUAGAUCCCGCCACGACGCUUUGCUUGCAACUGCACCAGCUUACUGCCCCUCCAUUCAAAAUAUACACGUAUCCGGUUUGUGACUUCGAGUCAUCCAGAUCUGUGUCGAAGCUAGCGUCGACGUAACCCUUUACGACGAGCUCUUCGUCACCUCCAUAAACGAGAAACAUAUCCUUAGUCCUCUUCAGGUACUUCAGGAUAUUCUUGACCGCUGUCCAGUGUUCCAUGCCGGGAUUACUUUGGUACCUUCCUACCAAACUUACGGCAAGGUUUACAUCAGGUCUGGUACACAGCAUGGCAUACAUAAUAGACCCUAUGGCCGAGGCAUAGGGGAUGACACUCAGUUUUUCUCUAUCUUCUGCCAUGGUCGGGCAUUGAGCCGUGCUCAAUUGCACACCUUGCAAUACAGGCAAGAACCCCUUCUUGGACUGAUCCAUAUUGAACUUCUUCAAUAUCUUGUCAAGGUACGUACUCUGUGAAAGACCAAUGAGGCGUCUUGAUCUAUCUCUAUAGAUCUUGAUGCCUAAUAUAUAAGCAGCUUCUCCAAGGUCCUUCAUUGAAAAACACUUAUUCAAAUAGGCCUUUAUACUUUCCAAGAAUUCUAUAUCAUUUCCCAUCAAUAGUAUGUCAUCCACAUAUAAUAAGAGAAAUGCUACAGAGCUCCCACUCACUUUCUUGUAAACACAGGCUUCUCCAUAAGUCUGUGUAAACCCAAACGCUUUGAUCAUCUCAUCAAAACGAAUGUUCCAACUCCGAGAUGCUUGCACCAGCCCAUAGAUGGAGCGCUGGAGCUUGCAUACCUUGUUAGCAUUCUUAGGAUCGACAAAACCUUCCGGCUGCAUCAUAUACAAUUCUUCCUUAAGAAAGCCGUUAAGGAAUGCCGUUUUGACGUCCAUUUGCCAUAUCUCAUAAUCAUAGAAUGCGUCAAUUGCUAACAUGAUUCGGGCGGACUUCAGCUUCGCUACGGGUGAGAAAGUCUCAUCGUACUCAACCCCUUGAACUUGUCGAUAACCCUUAGCGACAAGUCAAGCCUUAUAGAUGGUCACAUUACCAUCCGCGUCUGUCUUCUUCUUAAAGAUCCAUUUAUUUUCUAUGGCUCGCCGAUCAACGGGCAAGUCAGUCAAAGUCCAUACUUUGUUUUCAUACAUGGAUCCUAUCUCGGAUUUCAUGGCUUCUAGCCAUUUGUCGGAAUCUGGGCCCGCCAUCGCUUCUUCAUAGUUCGAAGGUUCACCGUUGUCUAACAACAUGAUUUCCAGGACAGGGUUGCCAUACCACUCUGGUGCGGAACGUGUCCUUGUGGACCUACGAAGUUCAGCAGUAACUUGAUCCGAUGCUUCAUGAUCAUCAUCAUUAACUUCCUCCCCAGUCGGUGUAGGCACCACAGGAACAUCUUCCCGCGCUGCGCUACUUUCCGGUUCGGAAGGGGUGACUAUCACCUCAUCAAGUUCCACUUUCCUCCCACUUAAUUCUUUCGAGAGAAACUCUUUCUCCAGAAAGGACCCGUUCUUGGCAACAAAGAUCUUGCCUUCGGAUCUGAGGUAGAAGGUAUACCCAAUGGUUUCCUUAGGGUAUGCUAUGAAGACGCAUUUUUUCGACUUGGGUUCGAGCUUUUCAGGAUGAAGUUUCUUGACAUAAGCAUCGCAUCCCCAAACUUUUAGAAACGACAGCUUAGGUUUCUUCCCAAACCAUAAUUCAUAUGGUGUCGUCUCAACGGAUUUCGACGAAGCCCUAUUUAAAGUGAAUGCGGCAGUCUCUAAAGCAUAGCCCCAAAAUGAGAGCGGUAGAUCGGUAAGAGACAUCAUAGAUCGCACCAUAUCCAAUAGAGUGCGAUUACGACAUUCGGACACACCGUUUCGCUGAGGUGUUUCAGGCGGCGUGAGUUGUGAAACGAUUCCACAUUUCCUUAAGUGCGUACCAAAUUCGUGACUUAAAUAUUCUCCACCACGAUCUGAUCGUAAGAACUUUAUUUUCCCGUCACGUUGAUUCUCAACCUCACUCUGAAAUUCCUUGAACUUUUCAAAGGUUUCAGACUUGUGUUUCAUUAGGUAGACAUACCCAUAUCUACUUAAGUCAUCAGUGAGAGUGAGAACAUAACGAUAUCCUCCGCGAGCCUCAACACUCAUUGGACCGCACACAUCGGUAUGUAUGAUUUCCAAUAAGUUGGUUGCUCGCUCCAUUGUUCCGGAGAACGGAGUCUUGGUCAUCUUACCCAUGAGGCAUGGUUCGCACGUGUCAAAUGAUUCGUAAUCAAGAGACUCCAAAAGUCCAUCUGCAUGGAGCUUCUUCAUGCGUUUGACACCAAUGUGACCAAGGCGGCAGUGCCACAAGUAUGUGGGACUAUCGUUAUCAACUUUACAUCUUUUGGUAUUCACACUAUGAAUAUGUGUAACAUCACGUUCGAGAUUCAUCAAGAAUAAACCAUUGACCAACGGGGCAUGACCAUAAAACAUAUCUCUCAUAUAAAUAGAACAACCAUUAUUCUCAGAUUUAAAUGAGUAGCCAUCUCGAAUUAAACGAGAUCCAGAUACAAUGUUCAUGCUCAAAGCUGGCACUAAAUAACAAUUAUUGAGAUUUAAAACUAAUCCCGUAGGUCAAUGCAGAGGUAGCGUGCCGACGGCGAUCACAUCGACCUUGGAACCAUUCCCGACGCGCAUCGUCACCUCGUCCUUCGCCAGUCUUCGCUUAUUCCGCAGCUCCUGUUUUGAGUUACAAAUAUGAGCAACCGCACCGGUAUCAAAUACCCAGGAGCUACUACGAGUACUGGUAAGGUACACAUGUAUAUCACAUAUACCUUUGGUGUUGCCGGCCUUCUUGUCCGCUAAGUAUUUGGGGCAGUUCCGCUUCCAGUGACCACUUCCCUUGCAAUAAAAGCACUCAGUCUUAGGCUUGGGUCCAUUCUUUGACUUCUUCCCAGCAACUGGCUUACCGGCGCAGCAACUCCCUUGCCGUCCUUCUUGAAGUUCUUCUUACCCUUGCCUUUCUUGAACUUAGUGGUUUUAUUCACCAUCAACACUUGAUGUUCCUUUUUGAUCUCCACCUUCGCUGAUUUCAGCAUUGAUUACACCUCAGGAAUGGUCUUUUCCAUCCCCUGCAUAUUGAAGUUCAUCACAAAGCUCUUGUAGCUUGGUGGAAGCGACUGAAGGAUUCUGUCAAUGACCGCGUCAUCCGGGAGAUUAACUCCCAGCUGAGACAAGCGGUUGUGUAACCCAGACAUUCUGAGUAUGUGCUCACUGACAGAACUAUUUUCCUCCAUUUUACAGCUGAAGAACUUGUCGGAGACUUCAUAUCUCUCGACCCGGGCAUGAGCUUGGAAAACCAUUUUCAGCUCUUCCAACAUCUCGUAUGCUCCAUGUUUCUCAAAACGCUUUUGGAGCCCCGGUUCUAAGCUGUAAAGCACGCCGCACUGAACGAGGGAGUAAUCAUCAGCACGUGAUUGCCAAGCGUUCAUAACGUCUUGGUUCUCUGGGAUGGGUGCUUCACCUAGCGGUGCUUCUAGGACGUAAUCUUUCUUGGCAGCUAUGAGGAUGAUCCUCAGGUUCCGGACCCAGUCCAUAUAGUUGCUGCCAUCAUCUUUCAGCUUGGUUUUCUCUAGGAACGCGUUGAAGUUGAGGACAACGUGGGCCAUUUGAUCUACAAGACAUAUUGUAAAGAUUUUAGACUAAGUUCAUGAUAAUUAAGUUCAUCUAAUCAAAUUAUUCAAUGAACUCCCACUCAGAUAGACAUCCCUCUAGUCAUCUAAGUGAAACAUGAUCCGAGUUAACUAGGCCGUGUCCGAUCAUCACGUGAGACGGACUAGUCAAGAUCGGUGAACAUCUCCAUGUUGAUCGUAUCUUCUAUACGACUCAUGCUCGACCUUUCGGUCUUUCGUGUUCCGAGGCCAUGUCUGUACAUGCUAGGCUCGUCAAGUCAACCUAAGUGUAUUGCGUGUGUUCCGAGGCCAUGUCUGUACAUGCUAGGCUCGUCAACACCCGUUGUAUGCGAACGUUAGAAUCUAUCACACCCGAUCAUCACGUGGUGCUUCGAAACAACGACCUUCGCAACGGUGCACAGUUAGGGGGAACACUUUCUUGAAAUUAUUAUAAGGGAUCAUCUUACUUACUACCGUCGUUCUAAGCAAAUAAGAUGCAAAACAUGAUAAAUAUCACAUGCAAUCAAAUAGUGACAUGAUAUGGCCAUUAUCAUUUUGCUCCUUUGAUCUCCAUCUUCGGGGCGCCAUGAUCAUCUUCGUCACCGGCAUGACACCAUGAUCUCCAUCAUUGUGUCUUCAUGAAGUUGUCACGCCAACGAUUACUUCUACUUCUAUGGCUAACGCGUUUAGCAAUAAAGUAAAGUAAUUUACAUGGCGUUAUUCAAUGACACGCAGGUCAUACAAAAAAUAAAGACAACUCCUAUGGCUCCUGCCGGUUGUCAUACUCAUCGACAUGCAAGUCGUGAUUCCUAUUACAAGAAUAUGAUCAAUCUCAUACAUCACAUAUAUCAUUCAUCACAUCUUCUGGCCAUAUCACAUCACAAGGCACAUGCUGCAAAAACAAGUUAGACGUCCUCUAAUUGUUGUUGCAAGCUUUUACGUGGCUUGUAUAGGUUUCUAGCAAGAACGUUUCUUACCUACGUAAAACCACAACGUGAUAUGCCAAUUUCUAUUUACCCUUCAUAAGGACCGUUUUUAUCGAAUCCGUUCCGACUAAAGUGGGAGAGACAGACACCCGCUAGCCACCUUAUGCAACUAGUGCAUGUCAGUCGGUGGAACCUGUCUCACGUAAGCGUACGUGUAAGGUCGGUCCGGGCCGCUUCAUCCCACAAUACCGCCGAAACAAAAUAAGACUAGUAGUGGCAAGAAAAAUUGACAACAUCUACGCCCACAACUGCUUUGUGUUCUACUCGUGCAUAGUAACUACGCAUAGGCCUGGCUCAUGAUGCCACUGUUGGGGAUCGUUGCAGAAUUUUAAAAUUUUCUACGCAUCACCAAGAUCCAUCUAUGGAGUAUACUAGCAACGAGGGGAAAGGAGUGCAUCUACAUACCCUUGUAGAUCGCGAGCGGAAGCGUUCAAGUGAACGGGGUUGAUGGAGUCGUACUCGCCGUGAUCCAAAUCACCGAUGACCGAGCGCCGAACGGACGGCACCUCCGCGUUCAACACACGUACGGAGCAGCGACGUCUCCUCCUUCUUGAUCCAGCAAGGGGGAAGGAGAGGUUGAUGGAGAUCCAGCAGCACGACGGCGUGGUGGUGGAAGUAGCGGGGAUCCCGGCAGGGCUUCGCCAAGCGCAAGCGGGAGAGAGAGGUGUCACGGGAGGGAGAGGGAGGCGCCAGGGGCUAGGGUACAGCAGCCCUCCCCCCCCUUUAUAUAGGCCCCCUGGGGGGCGCCGGCCCCUGGGAUCCCAUCUACAAGGGGGGCGGCGGCCAGGGGGGGGGACUUCCCCCCCAAGCCAGGUGGGGCGCCCCCCACCCCCAGGGUUUCUAACCCUAGGCGCAGGGGGAGGCCCAUGGGGGGCGCACCAGCCCACUAGGGGCUGGUUCCCCUCCCACUUCAGCCCAUGGGGCCCUCCGGGAUAGGUGGCCCCACCCGGUGGACCCCCGGGACCCUUCCGGUGGUCCCGGUACAAUACCAAUAACCCCCAAAACUUUCCCGGUGGCCGAAACUGGACUUCCUAUAUAUAAUUCUUCACCUCCGGACCAUUCCGGAACUCCUCGUGACGUCCGGGAUCUCAUCCGGGACUCCGAACAACUUUCAGAUUUCUGCAUACUAAUAUCUCUACAACCCUAGCGUCACCGAACCUUAAGUGUGUAGACCCUACGGGUUCGGGAGACAUGCAGACAUGACCGAGACGCCUCUCCGGUCAAUAACCAACAGCGGGAUCUGGAUACCCAUGUUGGCUCCCACAUGUUCCACGAUGAUCUCAUCGGAUGAACCACGAUGUCGAGGAUUCAAUCAAUCCCGUAUACAAUUCCCUUUGUCAAUCGGUAUGUUACUUGCCCGAGAUUCGAUCGUCGGUAUCCCAAUACCUUGUUCAAUCUCGUUACCGGCAAGUCACUUUACUCGUACCGUAAUGCAUGAUCCCGUGGCUAACUCCUUAGUCACAUUGAGCUCAUUAUGAUGAUGCAUUACCGAGUGGGCCCAGAGAUACCUCUCCGUCAUACGGAGUGACAAAUCCCAGUCUCGAUCCGUGCCAAUUCAACAGACACUUUCGGAGAUACCCGUAGUGUACCUUUAUAGUCACCCAGUUACGUUGUGACGUUUGGCACACCCAAAGCACUCCUAUGGCAUCCGGGAGUUGCACGAUCUCAUGGUCUAAGGAAAUGAUACUUGACAUUGGAAAAGCUCUAGCAAACAAACUACACAAUCUUUUGUGCUAUGCUUAGGAUUGGGUCUUGUCCAUCACAUCAUUCUCCUAAUAAUGUGAUCCCGUUAUCAAUGACAUCCAAUGUCCAUAGUCAGGAAACCAUGACUAUCUGUUGAUCAACGAGCUAGUCAACUAGAGGCUCACUAGGGACAUGUUGUGGUCUAUGUAUUCACACAUGUAUUACGAUUUCCGGAUAACACAAUUAUAGCAUGAACAAUAGACAAUUAUCAUGAACAAGGAAAUAUAAUAAUAACCAUUUAUUAUUGCCUUUAGGGCAUAUUUCCAACAAGCAUAUCAUGCCUUUCAACACAGUCAUAUAUCCCGUUAAUAUGUCUUUUCAACAUCCAUGGAACCGGUGGAUCAACCGUUGGCGGUGGUCUUCGCAGCACUCCCGAGUCACGGAGCCCGACCACUCCGAUCCAUGGAGGCGGAGGCGGAGGUGGAGGCGGUCUUGGCGGUAGCGCUGCCGCUAGCACUGAUGACCUGGGCUUCAGCGGUCUUGGCGGUGACGACCUCCGCGGUGCUCGACGUCCUGGCGCUUAAGCCUUUUGGUUACUUGUGUGCUUAUGCUUAUGUAUCUUUAGAUGACUUAUGUGUGGUGAUGAUGAUAAACUUGUGGUCUUUGAUGGUCCUUUAGAUGACUUGCAUGCUUCUUUAUAUGCUUAUGCUUAUCUUUAUGUUGAUUAUGAUGAUGCUUAUGCAUAUAUUGUUGUGAUGGUGACGGAUGAUACUUAGAUGUGUUCUAUAUGUCUAUUUCCAUCAUAUAUAUCUGCUGAUAUGUGCUGUAUAUCUGAAUUGAAUUGAUUUGAAAACAAACAGAAAAAAGAAAAAAAAUCAAAUACAAACUAUGCCGACGGCUAGGCCGUCGGCAUAGGGCUGGCCUGAGCGCCCAGUUGCUGACGCGUGGCAUCUAUGCCGNNNNNNNNNNNNNNNNNNNNNNNNNNNNNNNNNNNNNNNNNNNNNNNNNNNNNNNNNNNNNNNNNNNNNNNNNNNNNNNNNNNNNNNNNNNNNNNNNNNNNNNNNNNNNNNNNNNNNNNNNNNNNNNNNNNNNNNNNNNNNNNNNNNNNNNNNNNNNNNNNNNNNNNNNNNNNNNNNNNNNNNNNNNNNNNNNNNNNNNNNNNNNNNNNNNNNNNNNNNNNNNNNNNNNNNNNNNNNNNNNNNNNNNNNNNNNNNNNNNNNNNNNNNNNNNNNNNNNNNNNNNNNNNNNNNNNNNNNNNNNNNNNNNNNNNNNNNNNNNNNNNNNNNNNNNNNNNNNNNNNNNNNNNNNNNNNNNNNNNNNNNNNNNNNNNNNNNNNNNNNNNNNNNNNNNNNNNNNNNNNNNNNNNNNNNNNNNNNNNNNNNNNNNNNNNNNNNNNNNNNNNNNNNNNNNNNNNNNNNNNNNNNNNNNNNNNNNNNNNNNNNNNNNNNNNNNNNNNNNNNNNNNNNNNNNNNNNNNNNNNNNNNNNNNNNNNNNNNNNNNNNNNNNNNNNNNNNNNNNNNNNNNNNNNNNNNNNNNNNNNNNNNNNNNNNNNNNNNNNNNNNNNNNNNNNNNNNNNNNNNNNNNNNNNNNNNNNNNNNNNNNNNNNNNNNNNNNNNNNNNNNNNNNNNNNNNNNNNNNNNNNNNNNNNNNNNNNNNNNNNNNNNGCCACGUGUCAGCAACUGGGAGCUCCUCGGGCAAGUCUAUGCCGACGGCCUGGCCGUCGGCAUACAUAUAAACUAAGCCGACAGCCAGGCCGUCGGCAUAGCCUUGCCCCAGGAGAACCCAGUUGCUGCCACGUGGCAGGCCUAUGCCGACGGCCUGUCCGUCGGCUUAGUUUAAAUCUAUGCCGACGGCUAGGCCGUCGGCAUAGGCUUGCCACAUGGCGAGCAGGCGUUGGUCAGCACUUGACGGCGGCCGCCGUUAGGAGGUAACGUUGCCGACGGCCAGGGUCGUCGGCAUAGAUGUACGGACACCGUCGGGAUAGGGCCUAUGCCGACGGCCUCCCGGGCUACGCCGACGGAUAUGUUGCCGACGGUCCUAUGCCGACGGGGGCCGUCGGCAUAGGCCUGUCCCGACGGCCAAUCAGGGCUAUGCCGACGGGUGCGAUUCCGGUAGUGGGUUUAGGGUUUAGGGUUUAGGGUAGCUGCUACUGGCCAUUGAGGAGGAGGAAGAAGAUGACGAUGACGACGACAAUGACGAUGAUGAAGAGGAGGUGUUCGUGCACGGAACCACUGCCUGCGUCCAUAUUUUCUCUAAGACGUCGGACACGAAGACGCCACACGUUUCCUUGAGCUCCUUGUACUCCUCCGUUGCCACCACGGCGGCGUAGACAUUGGGGUCGGACAUCAUGUACUCAACGCAGGCGGCCUCUAGCUGCCGGCAGCUAUCUCGGCCGUGCACCAGCAUCAGUGUCGUCAUCACAGAUCUGGCGUUCAUGUUGUCUGCAAGUAUCUUCUCGCGCAUGAGCCUCAGCCUCUCCAGGUCGUACCGAUCCGUGGCCACGAGUAAAUCACCUGCCAUGCCCAGGUGGUUGCCGUUUUUUUGCUUUGUGCUCGUCGGUGUAGAUGAAGUGCAGCAUGGCCCUGAAUGUGGAGGCGGUCAUGUCGUCGACAGUGACGCGGGAGCGCGCGGCGCCCUCCUUCAUCUCCCUGAGCAGCUCGGCGGCGAACACCGGCGACCGCAUGGCGAGCACGAGCCUGUGCGCCCGGAUCUCGGUCUGCUCCUCCACCACGAACGUCACGUCCGUCGCGAAGCGCGUGUCCGACUUGUCUGCCUUCGACGACUGCGACUCAUCCAGGAGCUUGCGGAGAUCACGGAGGAUGCUGGGCGGCGGCACGAUGGAGACGGAGCAGUCCUUGGUCGCGGCCUCGUCGGCCUCCUCUUGGAGGACGUCGACGGUGCAGUGGAUGGUGAGCCGGUCGUCCCUGACGUAGAGCGACUCCCGGAACGCGUCGGGGACGGGCAGCUCCCAGUAGCUUUUGCCGGUGCACUCAUCGGGGUCGUCGUCGUACCCACGACCGCGGGCGGCGGCGAGGAAGGUUUUGGCCUCGGCGCUCCGCCACACGGCAGGCGGCCACCGGCGAGGACCGCCCUUCUUCUCCGGCAGUGCCGGGUCGUCGAUCCGGAGGCUGGCCCUGGCGACCACGUCGUGGCCGUCGUUGGAGACGAGUGGAUCUGGUCCCCGGAACCGCGAUGUCGCGCGUAGGCAUAGGGGUCGUCGAAGCAGCAGAUGAGGGCCCAGGUGCAGCCGCCGGCCUGGAAGUCGGCCGACCUGACGGUGUUGCGGACGCCGAGGUCCUUGCGCGCGCGGUAGCCGACGAUGUCGAAGCUGUGCUCGCCCCGGAGGAACGCCGACCGGUGCGCCGACGAGGUCUUGUUCAGCGGCUGCGACGGCGCCAUGACGAUGUUGUUGAUUGACUGACUCGAUCCAGGACCGACCGAUGGAACGAGUAUAAUAUGGAUCUCUCAUCGCUAUCGACCGAUAUGUUGUUAGAGAUUGAGUCGGAGUCUGAUGCUAUAGCCGUAGCCCAAUGAGACACUUCUCUUAGGAAAAGUCAUAGCACAACUGCUCUCCGCCAAAUCCCUCUCUUUUUUUAAGUGAAUUUCGGUUUUUACCCCCUACUUUAACAUGUUUGAAGCAAGUUGCCUUGUUUAAAAGUUUUUCAUUUGGCUUGCCCCAUUUAUCCUAUUUACUGAUUUUUUUUGCCAAUUUUUAUCCCAUUUAGCGAUCUGUCGUGUGGUUCCUGACCGAUAGGUACAUGUGGCAUGACACGUCCCAGAAUUUCUUCUCACGCUUUUCUCCAUGUUCAAAUGAGAGAAGUCUAUAUUACAUCAGAUGUGAAAUAGCUAUCUCACAUCUAAAUCCAUAACCAUUGGAUGUUGUCCUGUCUUUAAGAUUCGCGCACACAUCUUUUUCCAUCUAUCCUGUCGCCUGUUUCUUCGUGCGAGCUUGAUUUCGCAUUGAUGCAUGUGUGCGCCUGGUUGUUUGUUUUUCCUCGGUCCAUUGUGUCCCACGGCCAGGCUUUUUUUGUUUUUGUUGGCCUGUUAUGCCCGCACAGGGCUUUGGGCUGUUAUACACAUGUCCUUUUACCGGGCAUUAAUAGGAAGGCACAGCGAUUUCGUUCUUUCGUGAUUAAAUGUGUUGUUUUUCUUGCCUAAACAAAUGUGUUGUUUUCCAUGCUGGGGUGCAUGGUGCAUGAGUCGGUUCUGCUGUUUUUCUUUUCACUUUUACUUUUACUUUUUUGUUUAUUUGUUUCAAGUUCAUGAACUUUUUUUCAACACAUUUAGCAACGUCUCAUCUAAGUUUCUGAUCGCUCGACCUGUUCGCUUUUAAAAUUGUUUGUGCAAAUCUUGAUCUUGGAUUAUUUUGUCACGCACAUCCUAUACUUCCAUGUCUUGCCGUACGUCUGGUGUCCACUUGUCAUCCCGUUCGCGUUUGCGUCUUUUGUUGGGCCGACUUCGUGACGUGAUCUCAAGACCCGUUUUUAUUUUUGGCGUGCGUUUUAUAAGUUGAAGACACGAAUUGGUCACCGCUUCCUCAGUUCCAUCGUCAUUGUCUCUCUCCCACCCCCAUUUGCCUAGGAGUAGAGCCGAUGCGGGUAGGAAGGAGGUUCGAUCUUUGUCCACACGUUGAAGACAUGCAUCUAUUUCGCCUUUUGUGUUUCAUUUGACAAACAACUAUCCUGCAAGUCUUCCCUUGACACACAAUCUUCAUUUGAGGGCGGCGGAGGGUAACCACUUUUGUCCCAGUUACAACUCCAUCCUCAACAUGCAACCGGGUCCGUGUUUUUCCUAGUUGCAACUAGGCAUGUGUUUUGUUUUCUAUCCCAGUUGUAAGUGCACGCUCGACUCACAACUAGACUUCUUAUUUGUCACUGUAACAAUUGCAAGUUCACUCCCGACUCGCAAAUGGUAUCAUAGUUUUGUGCAGUUGUCACGGUUGCAAGCCCGUUCAUUCGCAACUAGGCCCCUAGUUUGUUGCAUCCUAGUUGCAAGUCCAUCCUUGACUCGCAAUUGGGCUUGUAGUUCCAUAGUUGUCCCAGUUGCAAGUCCACCCUCGACUGGCAACUAGGCCCAUAGUUUUGUUGUCGUCUCAGUUGCAAGUCCACCUUCGACUUGUAACUCGUAUCGUAGUUUUGUGUAGUUGUCACAGUUGCAAAUCCACCGUUGACUCACAACUAGGUCGUAGUUUGUUUCUUCUGAGUUGCAAGUCCAACCUUCACUCGCAAAUCGACCCGUGUUUUGUUUUUCAUCCCAGUUGCAGGUCCACCCUUAACUCGCAAAUAGGCUUGUACUUUGUUUUAUCCCAGCUGCAAGUUGACUCUUGACUUGCAACUGGGCUCGUAGUUUUGUAUUUGUCCGAGUUGCAAGUCCGCCAUCGACUCGCAACUGGGCUCGUAGUUGUCCCAGUUGCAAGCCCACCUUCGACUCGUAACUGGGCACAUAAUUUGUUUCAUCCCUGUUUCAAGUCGGACCCUUGACUCGCAACUAGGCUUAUAGUUUCCUAGUUUUCAAAGUUUUCAGUCCAAUCUUUGUUUGUCUAAUUGGCUCGUAGUUGUCCUAGUUGCAACACCACACUCGACUAGCAACUGGGCAUGCGUUUUCUUUUUCUUACCAGUUGCAAGCCCACCCUCGACUCGCAACUGGGAUCGUAGUUUGUCAUUGUCGCAGUUGAAAAUUCACUCUCGACUCGCGAAUGAUAUCGUAGUUUUGUGUAGUUGUUAGGGUUACAAGUAUAUCCUUGAUUCGCAACUAGGCCAGUAGUUUGUUUCAUCCCAAUUGCAAGUCCACCCUUGACUCACAAUUGUGCUUGUAGGUUCAUAGUUGUCCCAAUUGCAAGUCCACCCUCGACUCGCAACUGGGCCCAUAGUUUUAUUGUUGUCUCGGUUGCCAGUCCACCUUUGAUUCGCAACUCGUAUCGUAGUUUUGUGCAGUUGCCCCAAUUGCAAGUCCAACCUUCACUCGCAACUCGGACCAUGUUUUUUUACAUCCCAGUUGCAGGUCCACCCUUAACUCGUAAUUGGGCUUUUAGUUUGUUUUAUCCCAGCUGCAAGUCGACCCUUGACUCGCAACUGAGCUCAUAGUUUUGUAUUUGUCCCAGUUGCAAGUCCGCCCUCGACUUGCAACUGGGCUCGUAGUUGUCCCAGUUGCAAGCCCACCUUCGACUCGCAACUAGAGUAUUUGUUUUUAUUUUCAUCACGGUUGCAAGCUCACCACUUGACUCGCAACUGGGCACAUAAUUUGUUUCAUCCCUGUUGCAAGUCGGACCCUUGACUCACAACUAGACUUAUAGUUUCAUAGUUUUCACAAUUGCAAGUCCACCCUCGACUAGAUAAUUGGCUUGUGGUUGUCCUAGUUGCAACACCACACUGGACUCGCAACUGGGCAUGUGUGUUGUUUUCCAUCCCAGUUGCAAGCCCACCCUCAACUCGCAACUGUGAUCGUAGUUUGUCAUUGUCCUAGUGGAAAAUUCACUCUCGACUCGCAAUGGUAUUAUAGUUUUGUGUAGUUGUCAGGGUUGCAAGUUCGUCCUUGAUUCGCAACUAGGCCCGUAGUUUGUUUCAUCCCAGUUGCAAGUCUAACUUGUACUCGCAAGUCAGCCUGUGUUUUAAUUUUCAUCCCAGUUGCAGUCAACCCUUAACUCGCAACUCGGUUUGUAGUUUUUUUUUACCCCACUUGUAGUAAAUGGGCAAGUUUUGUAUUUGUCCCAGUUGCAAGUUAACGCUCAACUGCCAACUGAGCAUGUGUUUUGUUUUCAUCCCAGUUGCAAGCUCACCCUCGACUCGCAACUGGAGCAUGCGUUUUUUGUUUUUCAUCACAGUUGCAAGCAUACACUUCACUUGCAACUCGGCGCAUGUGCAUUUUCACCUAUGAAACAAAACUCAACCGAGCCAGUUGCGUGUUCAUCCUAGAUAUGCAAAUUUGAUUAUUUUUUGUUUUUUGUUUUUUUCUCCACAUGCGUCUUUUAAAAUGUUCUCCAUAUUUAAAAUAUAAAUUCAUCACGUCAUGUGCUUGUAAAAUGUUGAACGUGUAUUUAAAAAAAUCAUCCCGUCCAUAAAAAAAUCGAGUGUGUCAUUUUUUCCAUUUUUUUCAAUUUUGCCAAACAAACACUUGAUUGAUGCAUCCAUGCUGCUUUUCACGUGCUAAAUAAAGGAAGAAAACAUAAAGGUGAAANNNNNNNNNNNNNNNNNNNNNNNNNNNNNNNNNNNNNNNNNNNNNNNNNNNNNNNNNNNNNNNNNNNNNNNNNNNNNNNNNNNNNNNNNNNNNNNNNNNNNNNNNNNNNNNNNNNNNNNNNNNNNNNNNNNNNNNNNNNNNNNNNNNNNNNNNNNNNNNNNNNNNNNNNNNNNNNNNNNNNNNNNNNNNNNNNNNNNNNNNNNNNNNNNNNNNNNNNNNNNNNNNNNNNNNNNNNNNNNNNNNNNNNNNNNNNNNNNNNNNNNNNNNNNNNNNNNNNNNNNNNNCAGGCUCAUCACAACACCGGUUACACGUUGGGUCUACAAGUGCUAACUUCUUUACGGACGUACACGUGCUAGAAGAAAAAAAGCCAACGAAGACGCACGACAGCCCACACUCGUGGCGCCAACUGGGCGUGGCGCUACCGCUGACGAGAAGCACAUGAAAUCGAUACAAACAAACAAUGGACAGGACGUGGGCUUGUCUACCUACUGAUUUGUGAUAAUGUCAUAGCUAGAUGUGAGAUAAUCAUAUCUAGAUGCAACAUAGACAGACCCAUAUUACAAACCUGAACUAGUAUCAAAGUCUAAUAUACAAAUGCAACCUCAAACUUUAAAACCGUCUGCUUUGCAACCUUGAACUUUCAAAAUCGGACAAGAACCAACCCUGCGACGGUUUUUGACAUAAUUUUGACCAGUUUUGACCAUUGACUAUCUAGUCAGCAGCCCAACCAGCCCGCCACGCGCGAGGAAAGCUCAUGCAACUUGCAACCAUGUCCCGGCUUUGUUGCGCCGCCGGCCAGCCCCCCGCCGCCCUUGACCUCUCCCCCCUGCUCCGGUCCUCCCCCUCCCGACUCGCCUUGACUAGGCCCUACAACCGCGCCCUGAUCCCCCAACACGCGGCACAGUGGCGGACUGGCAGUGUUCCCCAACCCGUCAUCCUCCCCCCAACCCAACAUUUGGCCCUCCAUGAUGCCCCGCCUUCUUGCUCCACAUCUGUAGUCCUGCCUUCGCUAUCCUGCCGCUGCGGCUCUUCCUCUGUCAGCAGUCGAGCUCUGACUUCAAGUGGUCGACGCCAAGAAUGUGUGUAGGACUAUGGUCUUGUGCAGCUGCUUGCCUACCCGAGAAGGAUCUGCUACUAGUUGCUCUGGACGGAACUGUGUACGUCUUAAUUGUUAUUGAACUCGAGUAGAUGCAUUUUGGCAUCCCCAUGUUUUUUGGUACUCUUUUUUGUAGUCUCAUAUUGUUAUUUGUAGUAUUUGUCAUGUUUUAUGUAUUUUAUUAAAUUGUGAAGUACUGAGUUUAGAUUAUUGAUUUAUUGCAAAUGUGCCAUAUUUUAUAGUACUACAUCCGUUCAACAAUGUAGCGCAUAUAUUUUUUUAAGUCAAGCUUUUCUAAAUUUUGAUUAAGUUUAGAGAGGAAAACAUAUACUUACAUCUAGAAUACCAAAUACAUAUCCUUAGAUACAUCAUAAGAUGUACUUUCGUAUUGUAUAUAUUUGAUAGUGUAGAUAAAAUAGUUCUCUCUGUAAACUUUGAAAAAAAUUGUAACGUUUGACUUUUCAGAAAAUCUAUAUGCACUACAUUAUGAAAUGGAGGGAGUAUGUCUUUGCGUGGGGUAUUUUGGGGUAGUUAUAGCCAUUAAAAGAAUUGCCUAAUCUUUUUUUUGUUGACCCGGGGUUUGCUCUGAUCCUGGCUCUGACUAAGUAGUUGGUGUUUUUUGUAUUGUUCGUAUUCUUGCCUCGGCGGGAUGUGAUGCCCCUCGGGGUGGUUUCAGGCCGGUUUUCCCCGUAAAAUGGAACAUGAUUUUCGAUCUGCUUUCCACAUAAACCGGUCGAUUUCUUUCUGAUUGAGAUCAAUAAACAGGUGGGGAUUUCCUCCUCCCAGUGAAAAAAAAAGACAAUUUAUUGCUAAUUGCCCUGCACAGCACUGCACCACAGAGUGAGGACGCAGCUUCAGCUGCUCCCUCUGCCCCUCACAAGCAAACAAUCAAUCAGUCCUAAAAUAUUAAAGAGUGCACGUAUGGGUUGGUGCCUUGGCAGACAUGAUGAUUCAUACUUUCAAGAGAAGAUAGAAGAAGAUAAGAUGCGUUUAAAAGGGAGGCACCUUUGCACGCAGAAGGGGAACGCAUUCAUUCACAAGGAAAGGAGAGGAAAGGAAGCAGCAGGCACCUGCAAAGCUGCAUGCAUGCGGCCUCUCUCUUCACGACAGGCAGUGCUGUGUCGUUGCUCCUGCCCGCCAAAUUAGUACCAGUAGUAACAGUAUAGUAGACUCGCUGAAGCAUGUGUCAGGGCAAGUGUUUUUUCUUUGGCAACAAAAGGUAAAAGGUGGCAAGCCAAGCGGGUGAUCUUGAGUGUUCCCCUUGGUCGAUCGACUAUCAUAUAUUCAUAUCAAAUCAAAAGGCUGGCUAAUACUGCCACGCGAGGUGAGGAGCCUAGCUAGGUGAGUCUCACCAUUCUAUAGUAGGUAGACCCCGCCGCACCCCACAAUAUUUUCUGUGGGAAAACUUUCUUCUGACCCGGCCCCGGAGGCAGGGAGAAUUGUCACUCUUGCAGUGGCCGUUACCGCCCCCCAAAAGAAUGGUUCGUCUUUUGAAAUCAAAUCAAAUGAUAAGACCAAGCAAGCAAUUGAGCUCCGUGCAGCGGCAGUAGAAAAGGCGUGCAGCGCACGGGCAAAUGCUAUCCUGGAGGACCACCUACCCCCUCCCUCAACCCUCAUCAUGGCAUGCAUCUUCUCCUACCACAAAAGUACUUGCUGCCAACGCCAACCUAGCUAGUCAGCCUUAUCAUCACCUGAUUCUCCUUCUCCUAACACACAAAAAAAAGGUAUUACUCCCUUCGAGCCAUAUUACUUGUCUUAGAUUUGUCUAGACUUGACACGUUUUGUUACGGAUACAUACAAGUAAUAUGGAUCGGAUACUCCCUUGGCAGAGAAAUAUAAGACCGUUUAGAUCACUACUAAUACUAAAGAGGGAGAAGGAGUAAUAUGGAUAUGAGCACGAGGGAAUGAGGUUGACCGGAGCACAGUAGAGGACACGAGAAGAGCCUUCCAUCCCAUUCCCAUCAGCUUGGGACAGGACCGGGAAGGGACCCAUGCAUGUCUCCUCCCAAAUGCAUGCAUGACCAAACUAUCAUAUCAUUACGGGUAGGGUAGGGGGGACAAGGCAGAAAACAUUACCUGGGACUUGUCCCCCUCCCUCCUCAUGCCGCUCCUCGGCUUCUCCUAUAACUGUGGCUAUGCUCUCCGGCAAGGACCAUUCAGUCACACACUCGCACACACUCAGCUGCUGCCUGCUGCUUGCUUGCUCUUGGCCAUGCCCAUGGAGAUGGAGAGAGUUUGCAAGAGACGGCCGGGCAUGCCUCCUGCUCUCCUUCUCGCCCUUCAUGGCGUGGAUGAGCAGCAUAUGCCCGCACCAUCGGUGCCUCCGCCGCAGACCCCCAUGGAGCCCAUGGAGUACCUGUCCAGGUCCUGGAGCGUCUCCGCCGACGAGAUAUCCAAGGCCCUGCUGCUCAAAGGGGCCACCAAGCGGAGCUUCUUCGCCCCCGCCGACAGCCUUCUUCCGGCCACCAUACUGGACACAGAGACCUCCUCCUACGAGCUCCUCGCCGCUUCCGGUCAACAGCUCCAGCGCCAGCAACAUGUAAGUAACCAAUCAAUCCACGCCGUCUCUUGCUUCUUUCCUUCUUUUUCUGCUCUGCAACAUAUGCGUAUGUGUCAAUCAAGUUGGAAACAACAAAUUCAGAUGCAAAACAGUUUGUAACCAUUUCUGAUCUAAAUGCUCUUACUUACCCAAAGCAUCUCUGCUCUGUAGCUAGAUCAUGUAACAGGGAGGAGCUCCAUCAGCUGCCACCGCCACUCAAACUCGGUGACCAGAUGGUACUUCCAGCACAAGGAGACCGCCAGGCACGGCAGGAAGGAGAAGGCGCGCGCUGACCGGGCCCAGGCGCACGCCAUGGUCUCCGUGGCCCAGGUGUCCGCCGCGGUGGCAGCCGUCACUGCGGCGACCAGCCGGGACAACCAGGACUCCAAGAUAGCUGCAGCCAUGGCGUCUGCCACCAAGUUGCUGGCUUCGCACUGUGCUGAGGCAGCCCAGCUUGCAGGGGCAGGUCAUGAGCAGGUGUCCUCUGCUGUCCGGUCUGCGGUCGGUGUCGCGGGCCCGGGUGAUCUGAUGACGCUCACAGCGGCCGCGGCGACAGGUGAGAAAUCCCCAUAAAUUGUCAUCACACUGAAAUUCAUCUGCUGUUAUUGUGUGCCUCCUGAUGAUAUUGUGUGCAAAGCUUUGAGAGGAGCUGCGACGCUGAAGAAGAGGGUCCAGCGCGAGGCGAGAAGCAAUGCCACUGUCAUUCCUUAUGAGAAGGCCCCUUUGUCCUCGAGUCCUGAUAUCUGGUGCAAGGAAGGCAAGCUGCUAAAACGCACAAGAAAAGGUGAGAAAUACUAAACCAUCGGGAAAAUUUUAAUUACAUUCUGAUAGAAUAAAAUCUGAACUUCUGAAGAAUGAUCAAGAGACCUGACAUUCAAAUAUUUUGUUUCUGAAUCAGGGGAUUUACACAAGAGACGGGUGUCAAUCUACAUUAACAAGAGGUCACAGGUAGGGAAUUUUCCUCCAUUGCUUCAUUUGUAAUAUAACACAAAAGGUUUACAGUUAUAUAACUCUGGCCAGUUCUGGUGAAUAGAUGUACAUUAUGUACAACCGAAUAUCAAUUAACAGUAAGUCUGGAUAAAUACAGGUCAUACUGAAGCUGAAGAGCAAACACAUUGGAGGUGCGCUUUCAAAAAACAACAAAAGUAGGUUUAAAUUUUAUCUCAAGAAGUAACACCUGAUGGCAAUGCUUCCUGAAUCUGAAUACUGACCUUUUGCUUAAAAAUACUUACAGGUGUCGUUUACGGGGUAUACAGUGAGCUCCCAGAGUGGACUGAGCCAGGGAAAUGUUUACCAGAGACAUGCUGCUUUGGCUUGAGUACAGCACAGGGCCUGAUUGAGUUCAAGUGUGAGAGCAGCACCAGUAAACAGAGCUGGGUUCAUGGCGUGCAAAAUCUGCUCCAGCAGGUCGAUGUAGCUGAACAAGUAGGGCACAGGCUAGAAACACUAAAACUCAACUGGUGCAGUUAGGGUUAGUACAUGAACCCAAAUUUGCAGGACAGUCAAAGCAUGUUUUGGGCAGGUGGUAUGUAACAGUAACACUGCUUGAUUAUUCUCAUAAGUUCAACCCAGGUUAAGAUACACCUAAUGGCUCGACGUGAAUAUAUUAACAAAAGAAUAAUGUAUUGCUAGUUUUGGAAAAAGAAUACACAUUGUAAGAAUUCAUAAUAAAAAAAAGGUUCAAAACACAACAGUCUUCAUCACUUCAUAUGGCAGCACACGGAGCUCGCAGUAUGACUUGAUAGCUUCUGCUAGGCACUGCUUCUCAAGGUUCUCAGACUUCACAACAAAGCUAUGUAAUGUGUCCCUGUGAGAAACCCGUUCAACCUGCAUCAGAUGCAAAGGAGAAGAUAUUAAAUUUCUAAUUCCCAGCUGGAAUAAGUGGGAUAAAAAUGCAUUGGUUUAAUAAAACUUCAGCACAGCAUGUGCAUCUUCACUAAGCAGGCAAUGCCACUAUGCCACAGCAGUUGUAAUGUGAAAGUGACCAAGCAUGACAUUAUUUUGGACACAGGUGGAUGCUAACAAAUCCCACAAGGGGAACGACCUGAAGAGAUACUAGCCCAAGUGGUGAAAAGAAAGCAAUUUAACACCCAACUGAUGAUUUGAUUCAAGUCCAAACUAUCAUAAAAACUGAGACCAGGAGGAGUUUGUAAAUGACAGAUAGACAGUUGUGGCACUUAAGUUCAAUAUUAUGCGAAAAAUAUUAGUACCAUCUGCUCAAUUAUUGGCCCAGCAUCAAGUUCGGGAGUAACAAAAUGGCUAGUUGCACCAAUCAACUUCACCCCAGCAUUGAAGGCCUGAAAGAAGUUAGACAAUUGUAAAUAAAUUGAAAAAAGAAAAGAAAGUUCAGAUCAGGUUCACAAAUGUAACAAUUUCAAUACCUGUCUAGAAGGACUUCCUCCUUUGAACGAGGGGAGAAGGCCAUGGUGAAUAUUAAUAAUAUCUUUCCCGUAUGAUUUAAGAAAGCUUUCAGACAUUACCUGCGACAAAAGAAUGAUUCGUGUCACCAAUAUUUUUUGAAGAAAAGGAGUUUCUGUGACCAAUAUUUGUGUGGCAGAAAUAUGUAUUGCGUGUUAGUAGUAUAGAAUAAUAUAAAGUCUGUACACCUGAUGGCGCCAAAGACAAAGAUAUUCAUAUGCCCCAUAGAGAUACAAGAAUAGCGAUCUCCUAAAUAUGCACAUAUUGCGAACUUUAUUGCAGAAAUCAUACAUAACUCUAGGAAAUACCCAAAUAUCAGUCCAAACCUUUUAUACAAAUAUGAGACGCUAGCGCGCCCUUUUCUUUCCAUUGCAAUGUAGGGAAAAGAAAAGGAAAACAGAGACCGUGACAAAAUAAGCCUACCUGCAUAUAUCUUGCCAGCACAACAAAAUCUGUGCCUUCAAUCAAUUCUAAUAUCUCUUUUUCUCUUUUAUUCCCAGAAGUCGUUGGUAAGUAAUGAUAGGGGAUUUCGUGCCUCUGAAGAAAACGCAUCACAUGAUUAUCUACAGGUCGAUCAUGGUUGCUGUACAAGAAAACAAAGAGCAUAUAAACUCCAGGAACAGCAUAUUCUGACAAGCAAAAAGUAACAAAGCCCGAAGAAAGAAUUAUAAAAGUAUGAUUCAUACACCUUAUCACACAAUGAAUGUCAACUGGAAGCCUGCCUUCUUGCCAUCUAUGCAGCAAGUCAAACAAGCAAUGGUCCUAGAAGAAGAAGACGAAAACAUACUUGUCAAAAUCACUACACAAAGAGAGAUGUGUACAUUGACAUGUGGCAUUAAAGGCAUCAAUUCCACAGAGAAAUCAUUGCCGGAUGAAGUGCAAGGAAGAGGUACGAAACCGCGAACCUGCUUCGAAGCGAGGACUGCAAUCUUGUACUUGGGGUCAAUGUCAGGUACGCGCACAGUGGAUUUCUGCGCAUUGAAGCAGUCCGACAGAUGGAGGAAGUCGGUGCGAAGCAUGUCGCGCGGCCAUAGCCUUGGAUUGUAGGUGAACUCACUGCAAAUUGGCGGCACAUGAGCUGAAGAGAAGCGCAUUAUUCCUAGGGAUAACUUGCUCGCAAGGAAGAGACACUUCGCUGAUCUUAUUUUUGUAAUGUAUAACUAACGCAGGAAUAGAGUACGGCUCGGAACUGAACAGGAGAUUGUGAUGGGAACAAAAAAAAGUUUUGAGAGUGAUUUCACCCGGGCCGCCAUCGCCAUGAGAAGGCUAGGGUGAGAGUACUACGUACUGCAUAAUCUGUAAUGCCACUGAGGGGCUGAUGUGCAAUUCGUCGAACAGGUGUCGGGCUGACUGACAGACUGGCUGGUGUAGUAGGUGGAUAAAGAAAUGGGAGGUGGGAAAUGGAGGCGGCGCGGCAGGGAGGCGGGGUGAGGGAGUACCUGCGGGCGUAGAAGACGGGGGCGUCGUCGGGGACGAAGACGUCGACGCUGUGGAUGUUGCCGCCGCGGGAGGCGAUGCACUCGGACAGCUUGGCCACGAUGCCCACCGCGUCCUGGCCAACAGCAUGCAGGAAACUCACUCACAUCGGCUCCGAGAGGAAGAAGAGAGGGAAAAAAUGAGAAGGGGCGUACGGGGCACUGGAAGAGGUGGAUGCCGAGGAGGUUGCCGGCGGGGACGGCGGCGGAGAGCGGGCGGCGGGCGAGGGAGAGCAUGGCUGGCGGGGGCGGUUGGUGGCGGUGGUGGUGGUGGCGCCAAGCCCACCCAUCGGCGCCGCUAUUCUAAUCUGGGUUCGUUCGUUGCUGGUUGGUGGAGUAGAUCGGGUCCGGUGGGUGUGGGUGUUGGAUCGCACCACAGCACCAUGUUGCUUUGAGAUUCGUGUUGUUCUCUUAUUGCUUUUUAAAUUUGCCGUGUUUCAAAAGCUUUCCGUUCCGGUUUUUUCCUCUCGUUUCAAAGUGUAUGAGAAAAAAAAACAAUGAUAAAGUCUCAAGAAAGGAAAAACAAUGUAGAGCUUUGAAACAUGACGAAUUCGAAAAGCACUGAAUUAAAAAAAAAACACGCAUCUCAAAGCACUCAUAGACGGUACCAGAUCCUUCUCAUUUUGCACCGGGUGUUUUCUUCUUAUUUCAGAAUGUAUCUUGAUGUUCAUUUGUGCCGUCGCGUAUGAGUUAACCAGCUCCAAAGAAAGUGCACUCUAUUUUUAUUGGCACACAAUGAAACAUGGUGAUACACGUUCAAACAAGCAAAAACCAAAUAUACUAACGAAACAUUGUGAAACGAGACGAAAUUUAACAACAAUCAGGAAAAAAUAGCAUGAAUCUCAAAACAACCACGAGCGAUGGACACAUUCACGGGAUAGAAUAACCACUCUUUGUCACGGAGCUCUCUCUCUCUCUCUCUCGGUUGGCGAGAAGAAAGGAGAUUUCUUUACCAAGGGUUCUAGAUAUAAUGGAUGUUUAAAUGAGCUUCAAAGGGUUUCGAAUGUAUGGUAAAAACCAUCUUCGAUUUACCGGAUGAUUCCAUUCUUUGAAAUAAAUUGCAGUGAUCUCUUUCCCUUCAGAGAUUCCCUUGCAUCGAGCUUCCUCUUUGUUUUCGUUCUUUCAUAUCGGCGUCAUUGUUUCUCCCGCUUUCUCUGCGGUUAGUUUUUCUGUGGGCAAGGCUUGUGAUCUCUACCUUGCGCUCUGACGUGCCCCCUGUAAUCUCUUGCCCACCCGUCCCCUCGGUCCCUCCCCCCAUCUUUUUGGCAUAGCAGAAAUCAUUCAUGUGGGUGUAAGCCUUACGUAGACCCUUCCAAAAAGAAUUUGCGAGAUUGGAUGUUCUUGUGUUUCCUUUUGUAGGGUCUAUCAAACAAUCGCAUUUUCAAUUUUACGUUUUUUUAUCUAUAUGUUUAUGAUAGCAUACGCCCAAAAUUCAAGCUACCAAAUCGUUCCACUUUGACAUCUACCUGUUAAUGAACUCUUCUUCUCUAUUUUGAGUAAUGUUAUGCUGGUACGCACUUGCUCAUUUGCAAGUGAUGCCACCUGAAAUCACUCGUUGAUCCAAGCGGGGGAGUGCUUUCUUGGCUCACAAGGGCCGAGAGGAGGAGGAGGAGGAGGAGAAGAAGAAGAAGAUGAUGUAACUAAUGUUUACCACCAAUGGUGUGUUAUACUUGGUGACAUGGAAUAGAUCGCUUGUGUUGUAAAGUGCACAUCAAUAUUUCUUGUGUAAAGUUAUUCAUUAGAAAAUCUGAAGAAGAAAUUGCUCCCAUGUGUUUGUGCCUAUACUAUACUAAAAGAUGUAUAUUAUUAUUAUAAUACUAAAAGAUGUGUAAAUCUAAAGAAAUUAGUGGUUUUCCGGCUGAUAUACUAAUAUACUAAAGGAUGUAUAUUAUUACUAUUAUUAUAAAAGAUGUAUAAAUCUAAAUAUGUGCCUAUAUUAUACCAACCCGAAGUGGGGUCUUCCAGUGGAAGAUGAUGCGGCCUCCUCCAUGCUAACAUCCUCCGGCUCCACUCCUGACGGCAACUGCCAGUCAAAGCCGUAGAGGAGGCUAGCGAGGAUGAACUCGACGUUCGCCACCGCCAAAGCUAAUUGAGGGCAUAUCCAGGAAAAGAGAAAGUGCUAAUUUAUUGAUCCCGGCCUAUUACCAAUGCAAGCAUGCAGUGGCAGAGCUUCAUAGGGGGCUAUUGCCCUCUACUCUAGGAAAACUGAUAAGGGUACCCCUAAUGUCAUUAGGCUUGAAUAUACGGUUUUACCGGAACUCAGUUAGCUGAGUUUUAUUUAUGGUCUCAGUCACUUUUCUCACCGUCCGAUCGCCACGCACGAGAUUUUGUCGUCGUUGUGCGUUGUGCCGUCCGAGGGACGCGGCUGCAGUCUCGUACAGCGGGCACCCCAUGUGCAUGAGUGCUGGCUUUUGUUUUUUCGUCUACGGAGCUGGGCUACGUGUGCUUUUUUUUUACCCAACCAAAAAAAGAAAGAGGAUGAUCGAAGGAUGUGAAUCGUUUUUAGCUGUUUGCAUUCCUCUUUUGAAUCGUACAGGGGGAGCCCAUGUGAAUCGUUGCUAGCUGUUUGCAUGUAAUUGUCAUUUUCUUUUUUGAAUCAUGUUAUUGUCAUUUGUUGACCAUAGGUGCCAUGCUCAGCUCUUUUCUAACGACUUUCCUUUUCAGUUUUUUAUCUCCCGAUUAAUUGUUUCCCUCUGAAUUAAUUGCUUUUAUUUUUAUUUUGUUAUUUUAGUUUUAAAAUUUUCUUAUUCACUACUUAGUAGAAAAUUGUUCCACUCUUUUCCUUUUCCUAAUUUUCCUAAUUAAGUGUAUUCAUUUAUUUCAGAUUAAUAUUUAUUUCGUUACGAUAGAUUAAAGAUUGACUGUUCGGGCUUUUCUUUGUGGGGGAUUGACUGUUUAAUCUUUCACUUUUUGUGUUUCUCUUCCUUUGUAUUUUCUAUAUUUUCAUUUUUCAAUCUUCAUAUUUCAUCUAUUUUUUACAUUUUAUUUUUCAUUUUCAUUUAAUAUUUUUUGUGCCUUAUUUUGUUUUCCUUCUUAUUCUAAUGACACCAUUACUCAAGUCGGGUCGCAACUGCAAGUUUUUAAAUGUGGUCGCAUUUGCAAGUUUUUAAGUGGGGUCGCAAUUGCAAGUAUUCAAAGUCGGGGCAUAACUGCAAGUUUUUAAUUGUGGUCGCAACUGCAAGUUUUCAACCGGGGUCACAACUGCAAGUAUUCACAAUACGGUCGCAACUGCGAGUAUUCAAAGUCGGCUCGCAACUGCAAGUGUUUAACUGUGGUCGCAACUACAAGUUUUCAAGUUGGGUCUCAACUGCAAGUUUUCAAAUAUUCAAAGUCGGAUCGCAAUUGCAAGUAUUCAAAGUCGGGUUGCAAUUGCAAGUUUUCAAGUGAGGUUGCAACUACAAAAUUUUAAAUGUGGUCGCAACUGCAAGUAUUCAAAUUCGGGUUGCAACUGCAAGUUUUCAAUGUCAAGUUGCAACUACGAGUAUUCAAAGUCCGGUCGCAACUGCAAGUUUUCAUAGUUGGGUCGCAACUGCAAGUAUUCUAAGUCAGGUCGCAACUUUAAGUUUUCAAGUGGGGUCGCAACAGAAAGUUUUCAAAGUUUUGAACGGCAACUGCAAGUUUUUAAGUGGGUUGCAACUGGAAGUUUUCAUGGGGUCACAACUGCAAGUUGUAAAUCAAGUCGCAAUUGCAUGUUUCAGAUCCGGCCACAAUUCUUUAAAAACAUUCUUGGCUAUUUUUCUCUUAAAUAUAGUGACUACUCACGGUCUUUUAGGGUCGAUUUUUUCAUCUCAAUGCAUCUUCUUUUUUCAGCCCAAAUUCACGUGAUGACAAACCCAUCUAAAAUGUUUUUUUUUCUUUUGUACAUGUGUAGUAAAUAGCUAAUGAAAAUCUGGCCCAACCCAACGAGAAAAAGAGUAGCGACCAAUCCCUUUUUUUGCCUGGGGUCAUGUGAGCUCAGGUGCCAGGCAAAACCAUCAACAAAGAAAACCAUCAACACAGCAAAAACAGAGCAAAAUAGCGCGGCAAAUGUGUGCGCCAAAUCACUUGGGCCUCCAGGCUUUUAUAAAGGAAUAACAGAAAACGGCCGGGAAAACAACAAACGGGCUUCCGCUCAAACUCAGAAACAGAAAACGGGCUGACACAACUAGUUCAUGACAUCAGCUUACAUCAGGUGAUUAAGACCAUACUAUAACUCGGCUAGCUGAGUUCCAGGCGGUCCCAUAUAAAAAACACAUGCAAUUUCUUCUUCAGAUUUCCAAUGAAUCACUAGUCUGUUACACAAGAAAUAUUGGUGUGCAUUUUACAACACACAAGCGAUCUAUUGCAUGUCACCAAGCAUAACACACUGGUGGUAAACAUUAGUUACAUGUUCAUAUUCUUAUCUGCUUUACAUUGAUUCUACUAAUGAAAUCAGCUGCGGAAUGCAUUUUUUAGCCCAAAAACGCCAAAAGACACUGUGUAAAAAGAAAGAAAGAAAGCCGCCUCCCUCGCAAGGAAACGUACUCCGUAAUACCGCUUCCGUCGCGGUGGAGGCGUGAGCCUGGGGCCUGGGCCGAGUUGUUGUAGUCCGCCGUCGUCUCGACCCACCAGCAGUCGGAAGUUGGAACCCCGUCGUCUCCAGAUCCAAAUCCUCCAAAUCCAGAUCACCCACCCACCCACCGGCCGCGAUCCAUCCAUGGAGCUGGAGGCGCCGUCGCCGGCGAGGUACCUGCUGGGCGCGGCGAUCAUGAUGGCCGGCGUCGUGCUGCCGCUCGCCUACAUGAUCUUCCGCAGCAAGCGCUCCUCCUCCUCCUCCGCCGCGGCCUCCGUCUCCUCCAUCGCCUCCGCCGCCCCCUCAUCCUCCUUCUCCAAGCAGACGUAGGUGUGCUCUGCCUCUCUUUACCCCUCUGCUCGCCUCCGCUCCGGCGAACCCCCUCCUCCGCCCCUCUGAAAGAUUGGCGCUUUGCUGACUCGGUUCCGCUCUCCGUUUGCCUGCAGGAACAAGGGCCUCUUCUGAUGGCCCGCGCGUUUGGUGCUCUUCUAGCUGGUAGCGCUAGCUCGUUUCUGCAAGAAAAGAGAAGAAAUCCCAUCUGUAUCCGCGGUCUGUCUCGGGUGUAGUUGCAGUAGCAUUUCAGCUGUGAAUCUCUAUCUGUAGUAUGUAUGUUUGUCUCUGAGCAGUUGAGCAAAUUUUUUGGUGAUGAAAUGAAAUGAAAUGAAAGGGAAACAAACUGGUUUUUUGUUAAUACCUGUACAACUUUGAUUGAUACCAUUGUCAACAUGAUCCUGGGGAUGCAGCCCUGAACAGUCAGCUUGCUUGUUGUCACAGCUGAUCCUGAUCAUAGUAGCAUUAUUGGCGUUGCGUGGUGGAUAAACCGGAAAUGUGUUUUUAGCUUACACACGUGCAUCUGUUGUUAGACAUAAUCAAGAAGAAUUCACCGAUUGGCUAGUUUGUAACCUACCUGCCCUCGAUUGUAGUUUUUGUCAAUGGUCUUGGGGAUGCAACCCUGAACAAUCAGCUUGCUUGUUGUCACUGCUUAUCCUGAUCACAGUAGCAUUGUUGGCGUUGCGUGAUGGAUAAAUCGCAAAUGUGUUAUAGCUUACAAUAUGAAUCUAUGGUUAGACAGAAUCAAGAAGAAUUCACUGAUUGGCUACUUUCUAAUCUCGAUUGUAGUUUGCUCACUGAAUGCCGCCUUUUAACUUGGAUGGCAGUGGUACCGUGUUUUGGUAUUGCCCUCUUAUAUCUCUCAAGUAUCCGGAAGAUUGUUGUUUCUUUAGCACGGCUGUGCGCUAGGUAGGUGACUUGGCAUUUUGCUGUGUAUGAUAUACUUCCACGGUUAUGCUUAAGUUUGCAAUUUCUUAGCAUCAGCCUGUGGCUAUUUUAGUGCUGAUACGUAUUGGUUGAGUUCACCUUACAGUGUAGCUGGUGAUUAAGCUAUCUGAAUAGAACACGAGGCCCUUCAGUUCUGUGUUAUGUUUUUGACACCCCAAGGUUUUAUGUGCACGAGAGGUAAAUAUGCUUUAACCAUAUAGUAGGUUGUUGCAAUUGAUCGGCAUAGGCAAGUGACUGUUUCGGAUAAUGCGCAUCAAUUCAGCUCACUCUUUUAUUAUGAACUAGCUUUACUAAGAUUUGAGUUUGCUCUUUUAUUAUGAACUAGCUUUACUAAGAUUUGAGUUUGCAUUGUGUUGGGGCUGGUGAUAUAGCAGAGAGAUGCAUAAUUCAGUGCUCUUUUAUCCAACUUAUGCGAUUUGUAUGCGACACUCUGCCUGGCGGGGCUGUCAACUUAGAGCUGGUAAAUGUAGAUAACCUCUUGAGCCUGGUUCAGCGGAUCUGAAGACGUCAAUAGAACAUAAAUUAAAGUCUGAUGGUGUUCCUGGUAUGUAGGAAAUGGGUAGAGUGUGCUUGGCAAGAUACGGUAAUCUAGCGAAGAAGACUGGAAACAAGAUGUUCAAUCUUAAUAAAGGAAGAAUGAAAUAAAAUGUUCAUGGCCCGGUAAAAAUAGGAGAUUGGAAACAUUAUGGUUAUAUAUCUAGUUGCUGGUCCUGACUGGGGGGGAACGGUCGAGUUUUCGGUUACUCUAUAAGGGGAGCAAAGCAGAGAUCAUGCAUGAUGGAUGCUCUUGUGCUGACAUUCUUUUCAGUAAAGGGCGCGCCUAUUUGGUUUGUAUUGGGACGACGGUUGGCAUCUGUAAUCUGUUCGCUGAACUGGUGUUAUAUGCUGUACCUAAUUGGUCUGAAUGUGGAAUUUGUGAUGUAUUACAACUGGUGUGCAUGCUGGAUAGUGGCGUGGAUGAGUUUUUUCUUCUCUCUAUACAUAGAUGUACAACUUUGAUAGAUAUCAUCAUCACAAGGCAGUAGUGAGCCUGGAACUGGGAACAUCAGUGACGCAGCCACGCUGCCAGCGCUAUGGGUAUAUUGUUGAACUUUACUUUCUUUAACUUCUCAUUUAGUCCCCGAGAUUGCAAUUUUGCGCGCUUGAUGAUUCGUCGUGCAGAUUGGAAUUUCAUGCGCUUGAUGAUUCGUCGUCGGUGGCCAGCGACAAUUUAACGGAAUCCAUGUUAUUAUUGCUCAGAGAAAACAAGUUUUUACCUACAGGCGAUGCAAGCCCUCAAAGAGGGCUCGCUCACUAACAAUGCAUAAGAGGGAGGAGAAACAGUUAACAGCAACCAAAGACACAAAAAGAAGAGCUAUUUGGAGUGAAGGAGGAUUAAAAAGCAAUGAAUACCAGCCAAACAUUACACAAACACGGUAGGCAGUACAUCAUAUAACGAAAUCCCGAUUUAAAUACAUCAUCAUUGUGCCCUAAAAAAUGUGUCUGUCCAAAAAUCCUACACCGUUUGUUGAUUGACCGACCGCAGCCGCAUCAGGCCACGACCGAUCGAUGACAGAAAAAAAGGGGGAAGAAACGACGCA
This 52077-nucleotide long non-coding RNA is filed under the name Triticum aestivum (bread wheat). RNAcentral's name for it is "long non-coding RNA (TAES_LNC004929)". Lineage: Eukaryota; Viridiplantae; Streptophyta; Magnoliopsida; Poales; Poaceae. The record is from RNAcentral.